RNAcentral lists this long non-coding RNA (81244 nucleotides) under Sorghum bicolor (sorghum). Its description in RNAcentral is "long non-coding RNA (SBIC_LNC013603)". The record is from RNAcentral. Lineage: Eukaryota; Viridiplantae; Streptophyta; Magnoliopsida; Poales; Poaceae.
UCCAUCUUUGAGAGAGUUAGUGUCUAAUCAAGGAAAGCUAAUGGAUAACCUAUCUAAGAAAUUGGCAUCUAAUGAUAAAAUGCUAGAAAAUAUAAAUAAUAGAAUGGAUAAUUUCUCUACUGCCAUCAAGAAUCAAAUUAGCUUUAAUAAAAUGAUUGAAUCUCAGUUAAAUCAAAUAUCUGCUGCUGUUCCUACUACUAACCCCGGUAUACCAUCACAACCGGAAGGAUUAGAUCUGCAAAUCUUGUAGACAUGUUUGAUGCAGGUAAUUGGAGUAACCCCGUUACUGAAUUCUCUACUGACCUUCUGCCGGUCAAGAGAGGCGAUCCAGGACGCCCCGUCAUCCCGAUCUCCAUCGGCACGGUGGACGUCCCAGAAGCACUCUGCGACUUUGGCUCUAGCGUCAACAUUAUACCCAGGGUACUCUAUGAGAAAUUCUUUACAUAUCCUUUAUUAGAGACAACCAUGUGUUUGCAGUUUGCAGAUCAGACGAUAAGUUUUCCAAAAGGAAUAUUGAAGAACCUUUGCGUCCGAGUUGGUAUCUUGUAUGCCCCAGCAGACUUCGUAGUGGUAGAGACCGGAAAUGAUGAGAGGGCACCCAUCAUCUUAGGGAGGCCAUUCUUGAACACCACGGGAGCUAUCAUAUACGCUAGUGCUGCCAAGAUCAGUUUCUACAUCAAAGGGAAGAAGGAGACAUUUUUCUUCAAGAACAAGACUACACAAAUUCCAGAUCAAUCCAGACGUGAAUCAAGGAAGAGGACCAACAGGAGGAACAGGAACAAGCAAGUGUGGACCGAGUCAGCUAAGAUGGUCACUGUAGUUCAUGGAGGCCAAGAUCACCAACUUAAGUCACCAUUUUUGAUCAAGAAGGAUGACCCAGGAAUGCCAAGCAUUUACUGCUCCAUAAAUGGAUACAACUUCUACAAGACGACUUGUGACACCGGAUCGGACAUCAACAUAAUGGCCGCAGUCACCUAUCGGCUCUUGUUCGGAACCAUGCCCCUAAAACCAACAUACAUUCAGCUCCAGAUGGUAGAUCAGACAUUUCGAGAAGUUAAAGGAAUAGUAACUGAUGUCCCAGUCAAAAUAGACGAUCAUUUUGUCUACACAGACUUUCCGGUUAUUGACAUGGGAGAAGACGAGUAUGAUCCACCCAUCAUCCUUGGAAGACCGUUCCUCAGCACCGUUAAAGCAAUCAUCUACAUUGGAACUGGAGAAGUCCUUAUGCACUUCCCCUCAGAGAAGGUACGCCGUUAUUUUACUAACCCUAACUAUAUCGUUGAAGAAUCUAAGCAGGUAAGAAAGCGACGCAACCGCAACUAGAGGAGGCAGAUCAUCAGGGACGGAUGGGCAGACUACGAAGGAGAAGUGGUAAGGUCAGAAGACGUAGAGUUUAAACAGAAUUAUCCAGAGGAGACUGUAGCACCGAGUCAGGUAUGGAAAGAGAAGAUAACUGUAUAUGAAGAGGAGGCGCCGCCGGAAGUACCGACUCCGCCACCCAAUGAAUCCCAGGACAAUUGAGAAAGAGGAGAGUCCCGUUCCCAUUCGGAGGACUUAAAAACACCGAACGCCUUGCCAAGAGGUAAACUUGGUAGUUAUCCUUUCCCCCUUUCAAUUAUUUCAAGUAUUUUACUUAGUUAAUCAUAUUCAUACUAUCUUAAAAAUAAAAUAAAAAUAUGAAAAACAGUAAGCCCCAUGUGAGUAUACGAGUGGCAUGAAACCCAUAAGUACAUUCACUGUGGUGGCAUAAAAAUAAAAUAAAAAUUUCUUUUCUGCUUUAUAAAACGAAAAUAUAAAAACAGGGAGUAACAUUUAUUAAGGAGUCUCAACAUGAUAAAGGCUAGAUAUUUAUGCUAACACUUAAUCAAGUUCCACAAGCUGUGUUGUCUAUUUGAGCUCCACAGAAUUUAAGAAUCAAGAAGACUAGCAGACGGAGGACAUUCUAAUCGCUGUCAGAAUGCUGCUGACUUUCAAAUACACCUCUACCACCUGCUAGCUACAUCAAGGGAAAUUACGUCAAAAUUCAGCUUGGGGGAGAGCACCCCCAUUUAUCUCGAUAAGUAUUUCUAUCUAUCUUUAUACUUAUAUUAUAUUAAAAUAUAGAUAUACAUAAUUAUGAAAAACCAAAUAAAGAUUUUGUGCUUAUAUAUAUAUCUUUUGCUUAGUAUGUUUAAUAAAUAAAUAAAGUGGCUAUGCUAAUCUGUAUCUUAAUAAUAACACUCAAGCAUGGAUAUGAUGAAUAGUUGCUCUGCCUAAUUUGUACAUUUUAAGUUCUCUCUCAAGUUUAGAUAUAACUAUUAUAAUUUAAAGCUUGCUCUAGACCUAAACUUAUGGGAUGAAAACUUGAUCUGAAGUCUAAGUUGUUAACAGAUACGAUAUGGGAAGGUUGAGCUGCUGUUUAUCUGUUCCUAGAGAUGCUAGAAUUCUGGAGAAUUUUAUCUUUGAAAAUCUUUAAAAUGUUGUAUGAUGAGUUCCUGUAUGAUGAGAGUUUAAAUUCCUACCACAGGCAUAUAUACAUGCUUGCUAGACUUUGAGCCACACAUUUACUAUUUACUGCUUAUGAACAUUGAGUGUGGUCAAGCUGUGUAGACCCUUAGGAGCUUGUCAUGUGGUUAAAUCAAGAUUCACUUGCACGUUCACUCUUAUGCUACUUCUACUCCGGAAGUACCAUCCACAUAUAUCCAUCCAUUUCCAUCUCUAGAACCACCCAAAAAUAUUCUACUCCUAAUCCGGGAAAGAAUAGCCAAAAAUAUUUCUGUUUUCCCUUGUGAAAUAAAUGCUCAAGUUAUCUUUUUACUACCACUUGCUAUAUUAUCUCAAGAGAUGAGUGCUCUAAAAAAAAGAAAGAGAGAAAAAGAUACGAGGAAAUAAAAAGGGGCAAGUGCCCGGAACCUCGAAGAAAAGAAAAAGUGAGACGAGAGGUAAAAAUGGACAAGUGUCCGACAGUAGAAUUAGGGGUACAAGAUACCCACCUGAGAGAAAAAAAUAAAGAGCAUCUCAUUCUCCUCAUAAAGUUUCAAAAAGCAAGGAAGGUAUGUAUCCCCUCAAAGAGCAAAAGUAGAAUUAGACUUUCACCAUUGUUAUCACCAUCAUCACCAUACACCAUUCAUUCACCACACAUGCACAUCUUGAUUUGACUUAUUGAUUUGUUUCUUUGGAUCCAUGGUUUGACUAUGCAAUACAUGUCUUAUGAGUAUGUAUAUUUUAUCUCCCACCUAUGAGCUCCAGAUAUUAAAGCCUUAUUAGAGUAGGGUGAGAAAGAAGACAAUGUCACUAUGCUUUAUACCACAAAUACUACAUACUUUUUAAAAGAAGGAAUAUACCAUCACUGCCUUGGUAAGGAUCCAGAAAUACCACAAAAGAGAGAUCUGAGAGAAUCAUACAAGGAAUCUCUGAGUUUUAUUUGAAAAUCUGCAAAAACACCAGAGCUAUAGCUGAUCAAGAAUAAGAGACAUGGCACUUGACUAGACUGUUCUAUCUUUUAACUACUCAAGACAGAAGUGACGGUUACAAGUCCCAUGGUAAAAGGUAAAGUAAGUAUGUUUUAAGUCUUGAUAGUUUACUCUAACUCAGAGAUGAGAUCUUAUUUAAAAGCAUGUGUACCGUCAAUUUUUAAAGAUAUUGCAACAACUUCUAAUCCAUUGCUGAGUCUAUCCUUGCUCAGGGACGAGCAAGAGGUAAGCUUGGGGGAGUUUGUUGAUGGUCCUUAAGUAUCAAAUUUAAUUAUCAAAUAAAUAAAGAAAAGGAUCCAAAUGAAAUCAACAUCUAGACUUAGGGUUUUAUCUGACAGAAUUGCACGAGUUUUGGUGUUUGUCUAUUUCUACAGGGGGUUAUCAGGAAAUACGGAAGAAAGGCCCACACGUCGGGAUUACAUAGAGAUAUUAACAUGCCGCGCAAUUAUCUUACAUCUAGAAGACUCCAGAAGCCACGAGACCGAAGCGGAGGCGAAACGGGGCCAGAGGCAGGGCGCCCGCCCUCCUGCCCUGGGCGCCCGCCCCCUCUGAGAGUCCAACCAGGACUCUGCUUCGUGGGAGAUCUCCACCGACCUAAAGGAUCAAGGAUAACCGUUCAAUCUAAGUCGGUUUGAUCCAACGGCCCAUAUUCACUUGAAGGGACUAUAAAACCAGACCCCCUGGCCCCUGGAGGAGAGAGCCUCUCAACCCUAAUUCAUUAUUCCUUAAGGGAGAAGAAGCCUCUGAUCAAGAUUAGAGCCACCACAUCAAUUAGACAUCUAGAUUAGCAUAGCUACAUAGGAUUAGAACUAGAAGGAGUCAAUCUUCGAUUGGUUUCCGGAUCUGUCAAGAGGAUUCUUGGUAAUUCUCUAAUUGUGCUUCUAAUUGUUCUUUUAAUUAUCUUUGUUCUUCAAUAUUAUGAAUAUGACUUUGUUCUACUUCAAUAUAUUGCUUAUGACUUUGCUCUACUUGUUUAUAUUCAAGAUUAUAUUGUUCUUAGUUUAUCAUGGUUAUGUACUUGGCUUAGUUAGAUUGGAUCUAUAUACAUGCUUAGGAUCGUAUAGCGUUUAUCCAUCGGAUCCAUGGGUAAAUGAUAGAUAUUGUGUAGGUGUGGUGCUUAUACCAUAUUUAUCUGCGAUUGUACCCAAUAUGCCAGAUCGUGGGGUAGUUCGUGAUAGUGACAACUUCAUUGAUUCUUAUAUAUUCCCCCUCUCGUGUAUUGGGCUGGCAGAGCAAUAUUAUUACAGGGGAGUGAUUGCUAUGUUUCUCAUUUACCUUGCUAAUAUCACUAUGCAUGGGCGUAGUCUUGUCUCACAAUGAUUGCUAAGUAUGCUUGCACUAACUAUGAUAUGCUAGACUAUAUAGUUGAGAAUAACUUAGGUAAUAUUCUUGUAGUUCGUUCUAAUACCAUGCUAAUGACUUUCUAGAGUAUCUAAUUGAGGUGCUUAUCAUAUUUAUUAUGUGGCUAGAUCAGAUUAAUUAUCUUUGUCACUAUUCAUUAUUUCAUAUAUCCUUUAUGUGACACUUAUCCCUGUAUGAAAGAGUUAUAUACAAUGUUCUCAAUUAUACAUGCAAUGAUAGAUGCUCAAUCUCAUAUUCUAUUCUGUAAUCAAUAGUGAUGAUUGCUAAUCCCUUCCCAAUGGUAAAAAUAUAAAUAACGAUACCUGGAAUACUUCUCGGUUAAAAUGCUACAUCGGUAUUAAUUUGUGCGCUUGCAGAUCCCAUUCAUUAUUUAUUUAGAAGAGCAAUUGCAUAUUUCAAUACCGCGUCUCUCAUGUCAUGCUGGGGAUGACAACUUGGCUUAAGUGGUGUGAGGGAUAGGUUUGGCAUUUUUGGCACCGUUACUAGAGUUAGGAAAUUGUCUACUUUUGGUAAUGAUGUUAAGAAUACCCAACACGCGUUCGGUGUGCGGGCGUUUUGUGACUCUCUCUGCGCAUGGGUCCGGUGAGCACCGGACGCUACCGGUGCUUAGCGUCCGGUGACCCUGCGAGUUUGCAGAGCUCUCUGCGCAUGAGUCCGGUGUGCACCGGACGGUGCUAACUUGUUCAACGUCCGUUGCACUGCAGGUGUCCGUUAGAUUCUGACACACGGCUGACGUUGGAGCACCGGACGCUGAGUCUGAGCGUCCGGUGCCCCUUUUUAAGAGCGUUCGGUGACCCCGUAUUUCGCCCAGUGAAAGAGCCAACGGCUCUAUUUGCUUGAGGGGCUAUAUAUACGUGUUUGGCCGGCUUGGGGCUCACUCUCUUGGCAUUUUAGCUUACUUGACAUGCUUGUGAGCCUAAGCAUACAACUUCCACUCAUCUCCUUCAUAGAUUAAACAUCUUUGUGAGAUUGGGAGUGAUUCCAAGUGCAUUUGCUUGAGUGAUUGCAUCUAGUGGCAGUUGGGGAUCGUUCUAGUUGCGGUUUUCUUGUUACUCUUGGUGGUUGCCACCACCUAGACGGCUUGGAGCAGCGGAGGAGGAUUGGCACGAGUUGGUGAUUGUUCAUGGCCAUCUCCCGGUGAUUGUGAGGGGUCUUGUACCUUCCCCGGCGGAGAGCCGAAAGGUAACUCUAGUGGAUUGCUUGUGUCAUUGAGUUACCUCACUUGUGGGUAGGUUCUUGUGGUGUCCUAGUGAGGACGAGGUUCGUGCUACACCUCUUAGCCACCGAACCACCAAGUGUUGGUCGACACAACGGGGACGUAGCGUGCCGGCAAGCACGUGAACCUCGGGAGAAAAAUUGUGUGUCUCCAUUGUGAUUGUUCUUUGGAUUUCUCCUCGUGAUUGGACUUCAUACUAUUGAUUGGUUCAUCCCCUCUACGCGGCGGUAUAAAGUUCAAACCAUCUCUUCUACAUUCCUGCAAACUAGAGUAGCUUACUUACUUGUAUAGAAACUUUAGGUAGCUUUCUAGUGUAAGUAGUGACAUAGCUCUUGUGUGCCUAGUGAUUAUAUCAACUAGAAUUGUUGGAUAGGUGGCUUGCAAACACCCUAUUAGAGCUAGAGCAAAAAGCUUCGCUUUGUUAUUUACUAACCUCUUGCUCUAGUGAGUUUGUAGAUUUUUUUUUAAAAUAGGCUAUUCACCCCCCCUCUAGCCAUAUUAGGACCUUUCACCUCCCCGCGCCAAGUUUUUCCCCGAGGGCUCCUCCAUCCUCUUCUGCGCUCUUGGCUCUCCUCUAGUGCGGUUUUAGGGUUUCAGGGUGAGUUUCUUGAACCCUGCCCUCAAGGUGUUCGACUCAAUGCCUAAACGGAUUUGAAUAUUGUUUCUGACAAUGUUCCCUUUCGUUUACCCUUCAUAGCACCUUGAGGAGUGGAUUUGCGUUCUCCGGUGAUUCUCUUUCACGAUCUUUUAUCUGGAACGCAUCUCGUCGCCCGAUCGUAAGCAGUUCGCGCCCGUUCCUUAUAUGUUCUUGCGAUCUAUAGGGUUUUCUCACCUCUAGCUAUUAUGUUUGCUUAUAUAUAUCCCAUCCAUUCCAUCUCUUGCAGCUCGUUGGUCUCUAGUGUCGUUUGGCAGUGACAGUCAACUCGGGGCAAAGCCCGCGAGUACGGAGUGAGGCCAAGCCUCUUGAGUGACAGUUGGUCAGUUGUCGGCAGUGGUUCAGGGAUAGUUUCUUGCAAUGGCACGUUGCAAGAAUGUCAGUGGUCCGGCAGCCAGCUCAGGGGGUUCUCCAGGAGGUGAUGGUGGAGGUGACCCUCCCCGUCGCUUGUCAGCAGCACAAAAGGGUAAAGGCAAGAAGCUGGCCACCAAGAAGAGGAAGGCUAGUGAUAGAUAGGCUGAGGUGGCAGAGGCAGUUGCAGCGGCAGCUGAGGCAGCAGAGAGGGGUGGACACUCAGGUGCCUUGAGGAUUGGGGUCGAUCUCACGCCACGGUAGAGGCGUGCAGUUCUUGAGGCUGAGGCACUUCACGGGUCUCCUCCUGGCACAAUCAUGCUAGGAGGUCAGCGUGUCAUGAUUGCAGUCACAGAGUCAGCUCAGGAGGACACGGAGACUGAGAUAGAGGCAGAGGCCCAGGAGCAGCCCCUCAGGAGGUCGACUUGCGCUCGUACUCAGGCCAUCCCUAGGACUAGUACGCAGGGUCAGUCUACCUCCGCUGCUCGCUCUACUCCAUCUCAUGGCCCUAUAGCUCCACGUCCAGCACCAGUGAGGAUACAUAAGGAUUACACCUAGGUCUCCGCUCGAGAGAUUCAGGAGCUGCGGUUUGUUCCCUUUCUGACUUGGUUUCUAGCUUCUAGGGAUCCAAGAGCCAGUGCCAGAUUCUAUACAGUGGUUCAGGAGGAUAUGUACGAGGCUCUUGUCCGCUCAUAGGCUCAGUUCAGGGAGCACAGGGUGCUCAACCUUGAGAUACUUGGGAACGUGGUCGGUGUGGACAUCAGGCAGUACUUCACUUAUCUGACCGGUCUCCUAGAGUUAUUUGCUUUACCUAGCACUUAUUGUGAGGAGUGUGUCCGAGAGUUCUAUGCCUCAGUGUGGGUUUCACCAGAUCAUAGCUACAUUCACUACGCACUGGCAGGCACUGACUACAGAAUGACAGCUCGGAGGGCCAGAGAGGUGCUUGGUUUGACUACUUCCUCUACCAGGAUCCACCAGCUUUGCUACGGGAACUUUGAGCCUCCUCGACGUCCUCACGGUGGUGCUCUACCACCGGUUGACUUUGUGGCUCCCUGUUUCCGUCAGCCUUUUGGAGAGCGCUCCACCAGGACAGUGGGAGAUUUGACUCGCCCAGCCAAGAUCCACGACUUUGUGUUGAGGAAGACGCUCUUUCCACGAUAGGCUACAGAGACGGCUUCACCAGGACUCAGCAGUUGUUGGUAGCCCACCUGAUCUCGAAGACUCCAUUUGAUUUGUGGGAUUUGAUUGUGUCAGAGAUUGAGGACACAAUAUUGGAGAGCUUUAGGGGGCGUCGUCAACUACCAUACACACACUAGAUCACUUUGCUUAUACUUCAUGCUAGACCAGAGCCUCUCCCAGCUCACCUAUAGAGAGAGCUGACAGAUUCCGACACCGUGUUCCCUCACUAUGACCCAUGGCAGAUGUUGAGAGCACAUCAUGACCUUAGAGCUCCGCCACCUCCUCAAGCACCAUGUGGCCAGGUGCCACCACCUUCUCCUAGGGCCACUCGUAGUUCAGGAGCAGUCCCAGAGACUGAGGAGGAGCAGGAUAUCGCCAUUGGGGCGUUUGUAGACGCUGAGGCUGAGGAUGAGUUUAACUUUGCUUCAGACAGCUUAGACGAUGAUUAUCGUCUUCCAGUGCCAGACCUUCCUCUGAGGCCACACGACCACGAGACAGGAGGUUCCUCGAGUGCUUCAGACCCCGCUCUACUUGCUAUUCUAGAGGGGAUGAGAGCCGAUCAGCGGCGGGCAGCUGAGGAGCAGGCUAGGAGAGACAGGGACUAGGCUGCCAUCAAUGCAACCACGCAGGCUAGGCAGGACGAGCUCUAGAGACACCUUCUGACCUUCCAGGAGCAGUAGCUUGCGUUCCAGGCUCAGCAAACGGCGCUGAUGGCCACUCUUAUGGCCGCCUCAGGGAUUCAGCUUCCUCAGAUACACCUCCCAGGCACUUCGUUAGUCAGGCCUCCUACCCCAGUGCCUCAGAGUCAGUCUCAGCCACCGCUUCAGCUUCCUGCUCAAAGUCAGCCAUUGUCGACGCCACAGCACUAGGUUUUAUAGGGUGUCAUCUCUUCUGGCUUUGAGCAGCCUCAGUUCACGCCUCUAUGCUCUGGUUUUACACCUCAGUCAGCGACAGCGUCACAGCUUGUGUUGGACUCGUCGGCAGGCUAGCACAUUAGUUUCUCUUAUAGUGCUCUGACUGGUGACCCUACUCCUCCACCUCUACAGGCUCCUGCAGCCUUUACGGUCCCAGUUACCACCACAGAGCGCCUGUCGUCGUCAGUAGCUUCGUCUGAGCAGCUUGCACCUUCCUCUAAUGUGCCAAAGACGUCACCUACAGCGACAGAGUCCGUGCCAGCUUCGUCGGCAGGACUUGAGCAGACAGCACAGCCUGUGACCGCCUCCGAGCCCACAGAGCUGACCCAGACCGCUUCUCCAGCACGUGCAGCUUCAGAGGGUCACUCUACCUCCUCCGACUCGAUGGCCGAUGGAUCAGACGAUGCAGCACAGUUUCAGGCCGUGCCGAGGGACUCCAUUGCUCCGCCUCCACCUCUGUCUUCUUAGGUUUUUGGCGCUUGAUGCCAAAGGGGGAGAGAGUUGAGAGUAUGAGAGUUAGGGGGAGCUAGAGCUAGUUUUUGGGCUCUUUGAUUAUUUUGUGUGCUACACCAUGCAUCAUAUUUACGUUUAUGCAUUGCAUUUGGGUGAAAUACUCUUGUGAGAUACUUCUAUGGUUGUGAGACAUGACCUAUGCUUAUCUGUGAUAUCUUUAUGUCAUUUGUUUGGCUCAUACUACUUUGCUUCCGCAUUUUUACUCCGAUGUACUAUGAGCCAUUUGUGUUUAUAUCCUGUUGUAUUCAUCUCACAUAUUUGGAUGCAGGAUGGUAGACUUGGUUGAUAUAAGCAUGCCUAUUUCUUUUUGUUCCUAUUGUCUCAUGCUUAUAGAAACCAAGUCAUUUGAAAACCUCAUUCUCUUUCAUACUCGAGGUUAUUGUCAUCAAUCACCAAAAAGGGGGAGAUUGAAAGAGCAUCUAGGCCCCUAAUGAUUUCGGUGAUUAAUGACAAUGUUGAUUACGGUGACUAAUGUGUGUUUUGCAGAGGCAAAGUCAUUAGUGAGGUCAUGGUAAUAGGUACUCGAUGAACAGGGAUGUACAUGCCUACUUAAUAGUGGAAAUCGUUUCAGUUUUCAAAGGAUGGAUGGACAUCGUCAAGACUAGACUAGGUCUAAGUGCCAUAUGGUGAAGAAGCACACUUAGAGUAGUUUAGGACUUUGUUUUCCUUUGACCGUACUAUUAAGAGGGGCUUUGAUCUAGUAGCUUGACUUAGGCAAGGCUUUAGGUUUAGGUGUGGUGCACACUUGGUAAACCUAGCACUAGGCAGCUCAAAGAUAGUCCUUAGAUCGAGAGGAACUAACUUCGUUUUGGAACGGUUGCGUUUCGACGAAGUUAGGGUGCCUAAGUAGGCACCGGACGCUGCACCGGACGCUCUGUGACUGCGCGUCCGGUGAGGUCCCUAGCUGUUGGAGUGUUUUUAUGCCUAGGGUUAGGCACCGGACGCUGGCACCGGACUCACCGGGCAGCGUCCGGUCCCAUACCCAGGGAGGUUGUAAACCUUCCCCGAGCACCGGACGCUAGCACCGGACGCACCGGGUAGCGUCCGGUCUUAAACUUAGGGAGUUUGUAAAACUCCUCGGAGCACCGGACGGUGCCACCGGACGGUAGGAAGUAGCGUCCGGUGACCUGUCAGAGACAGUACACUUAGCCGUUGAAGUGUCACCGGACGCUCGGUGCAGAGCGUCCGGUGCAACAUCAACAGCGUCCGGUGACCCCGUUUUCAGUGGAAAACGGUUGGCUAACCUUUGGACUUCGUGGGGUGUAUUUAUACUACUCCACCUCAUCCAUGAGAAGUCUCUUGCCCAUUUGAACAUCUGAGAAACUUGUUGUGGAGCAAGAGAGUAGCAAGAGCCUAGAGAGGAUUGAGAUUUGAGUGAUUUCUUGUGAGAAUCCUUCUCUAGUUGAAUUCCAAGAGUCAAGUGUGCAUCCACCACUCUCUAGUGCCUUGUUUGGGUCAAGUGAGAGUUCUUUGCUUGUUACUCUUGGUGAUCGCCAUCACCUAGACGGUUUGGUGGUGAUUGGAGGCACGAAGACCGCCCGGAGUUCUUGUGGGUGGCUCGUGUCAAGCUUGUGAGCGGUUUUGGGCGAUUCACCGUGACGGAGUGUCGAAGAAUCAGCCCGUAGAGAGCACUUGGUCCUUGCGCGGACCAAGGGGGAGCAAGACCCUUGCGCGGGUGCUCCAACGAGGACUAGUGGAGAGUGGUGACUCUCCGAUACCUCGGCAAAACAUCGCCGAGCACUUUCUUCCACUACUCCUUUACUUUCUAGCAUUUACUUUGUGUUUUUACAUUCUUAGAAUUGCCAUGCUAGAAUAGGGUUGGAACUAGGCUGCAAACCUUUUAUCCGGUAGCUCUCUAGUCACACUAGGCAUAAGGGGUUGAAUUGAAGCUUAUAGGUUGCUUAAAUUUUUAGAGAAGCCCAAUUCACCCCCCCUCUUGGGCAUCUUGAUCCUUUCAGGGCCAAAAUAUUAUCUUCUAAUGUCUAGUAACUUGGCAAUAGAGCACACAUACUACCACAUUAUGAUUAGGUGCAACUAGUCAUGGGUCAGCAGAUCAUUUGGUGUUCUAAGAAAAAUUUGACCGUUAGAGAAAUGACAAGUGAGCUUGCUUGGGGCUAUGUAUACCUGUUGACACCGUUUUUUGGGCACGUGUCCAGGCCGACAGGAUGAGACGGCGGUGUUUUGUCUACAGGAUGAGUUGCCGAUGAGGAUGGUUGCCGAUGAAGGAGGGGUUGAACGUGACUAAGUUUAUAGGUGUGAUGUGUCUGUGCCGAUGGCUAUGACAAGGAAGUCUGCCGAUGACUAUGACAAGGGAAUCUGCCGAUGAUACGAAGGGAGAGUCCAGAAGCUGUCGAUCGGUUUGUGGAAGAGUUUCAGCUUGUCACGGGGGAUAGCUUUAUUAUUUCCUUAGUUAUUUAAAUCGUUUUGUAUACGGAUUCCAUGUAAUUUGGAAUUCAAAUUCUAAUCGUGUCUGGUUGUAGCUCUUUGAGCAGGGUAUAAAUAUAGACCCUAGGACCUUGUAAUGAUCUAUCUAUCAAUCAAUCAAACACACAUUUUUACUCAUGUUCUAGCAUCUACUUUUUCGAUGACUUCGUCAUACUUUUUCCUUUUCACUACGAGUUCUUAGGAAUUCGUCGACUUAAGCUCGGCGUGUUCUCAAGUUCCGCGUGAGUACCUCUUAGCCGUGACAUCCGGGCGCAUCGCUGUUGUCAGGACUAAAGUAUUCGAGUUACCACCUUUGCCGAUAGUAAGGUCAAAUCGGCUGGCACGCCUUAACGUUUGAAUCGGGUAUUAGCCCUUUGUGUUUGCAGACCAGCUUUUGCACCAACACAUCUUUUGGCACGCCCGGUGGGACAGAUCCAAGAUCAAGAUCAACAUGUCGACUUCUAAGUUUGAUCAAGAGAAUGUCAUCCCCGUGACGGAAGCCAAUCUCAAGGAUGAGCAGAAGCAAGCUAUUGCUAAAGCCAUGGAGGAUUACAAGCAGCAAUGCCUGAGGUCCUUCAGCAUGAACAGGAGCGGUGAGGUGAUUCAGAAGGAUGCACUGCCGGCACCUCGGCAGGUUACUUUAGAGUCUAAUCCUAGCAAACUUCAAGAGAUGGUUGACAGCGCUAUCAACCGUGCUUUGAUCAACCAAGCUGGUGUACUGUCUAAUACGGUUUUCAAUGCCGUAGCAAGAACUUUCAAGGAGGGACAAUUGCCACCAGAUUAUGUGGGCCCCACUUAUCACUAGCCAAAGUCACCAGUGGUCACAGCUCCAUCGGCAGCUACGGCCGCUGCGGGUAUGGAGAUUCCUGUUUCGCCAAGCACGUUGGGAGUCACCAAUGGACAAUCUAUGCCGAUGACUGCUAAUUCACAGACUUUAGAUGGGCAGAUUAAACUUGCCACAGAUCUGUUAGCAUCGGCAAUGACAGGGUUAACUCCUCCUCCCAACUGGUGGGGUUAUGGCAUGCCUCCAGAGUUAACGCCGGGUACAUCGCAGACGACUGACAUGAGAGGCAAGACCCCUAUGACAUCGGCACGUCCCAAUAUGCCGAUGAGUCACAGUCCCCAGUAUACUACUACAACUACUACUGCAAGACCUUACACUGGGAAUUCUCAAGCUCCAAUGUUCCAGAUACCCAACGCAUCGGCAGACUCGAUGCUGAUGCAACAGAAGUCUAUGGCUCAAUCAGGGUAUGUCAAUUCAACGAUGAUACCCAAUUACCAGUCAUCGGCAGGGCCUAUGCCGAUGAACGCUAAUAAUGGAUGGCUUGGGCAGCAAGUCUUUCCGCAAAUGCCCCAACAGAGUCACCAGGCUACAGGGUUCCAGCAAGGACAGAUCUAUCCCGGACUCCAGAAUCAGGGGAUCCUUAACCAGCCAAUGAAUUUCGGACAACAGGUCGGCGGACAGCAGAUUGGCGGGCAACAGCUUGGUGGUCCUCAGGUGGGAGGCCAGAUAAUCAACCCAAUGUUCCGUGCAGAUCAUGCACCAAACAGACACGUGGAGGCUUACCAGCAGGUGCAGGAUCCAGAACCACCGCAUCGGCAAGAUGCCGAUGCAUACUGGGCCGAUAAGAUCGCUGAAGUAAUGAGAGAUCAAUUUGGGAUAAAACCCAAAGUUAACACUUACUCUUAUCGGACACCGUAUCCUCCCGCAUAUGAUCUGAUCCCGCUUCCGCAUCGGUACAAGGUACCGGACUUUACUAAGUUUUCUGGAUAGGAUGACACGUCAACCAUGGAGCACGUCAAUAGGUUCAUUAUUCAAUGCGGAGAAGCUGGUAACAGGGACGAGUUAAGGGUUCGUCUAUUUUCAUCAUCGUUGUCUGGAUCGGCUUUUACCUAGUUCAUAUCACUACCUCCCAACUCAGUGAUUACUUGGGCCGAUCUGGAGAAACAAUUCCACAAAUACUUCUUUUCUGGGGUUCAUGAGAAGAAGAUCACCGAUUUGGUCAAAUUGAGGCAGUGUAAUGAUGAAUCGGUUGAAGGUUUUGUACAGAGGAUACGGGAAGUCAAGAACAAGUGCUAUAGUCUGGUUCUGGACGAUCGGCAGCUAGCCGAUUUGGCUUUUCAGGGUUUGUUGCCACACAUCAGGGACAAAUAUGCAUCUCAGGAGUUUGAAAGCUUGAGUCAUCUGGUGCAGAGAAUCUCUGAUCAAGACAUUAAGCCGUUUGAACCCAAGAGAGCAUAGAACAAAAAGGUGUCGUUCGUUGAUGAAGCAACAAGCUCAGAUUAUGAUGAGGAACCAGUCAUCGGCUUGGCAGAGUGGGUAAAAAAUAAGAAGCCAAUGUCUUGCCCUUUUGGGCAGAAGGAACCAGAGAAGUUCGCUUUUGACACCGCUAAGGCCGAUAGGAUAUUUGACUUUCUACUUUAGGAAGGUCAGAUCAAGCUGUCUCCUAAUCACGUGAUCCCAUCGGCUGAGGAGUUAAGAAGGAUGAAAUAUUGCAAGUGGCAUAAUGCAACUUCUCAUGAUACCAGUGAGUGCAAGGUUUUCAGACAGCAAUUGCAAUCGGCUAUAGAAUCUGGGAGGAUCAAAUUUGACGGCUCCAAGACCUAGAAGCCGAUGAAGAUUGACCAACAUCCUUUCCCAACGAACAUGUUAGAUGCUAAGGGAAAAGCCAAGGUCUUAACUUCAGAAGCAGCCGAAAGAAGUGCAUCGGUGGAUCCUCAGCAUCAAGUCACUACUGCCGAUGCGAGAGGAAGAGGCUUGGUCCAGGAAAGAACCAGCUCAGGAAGGCCUCCCCGAUCUGGGAUUGUAAUAACUCAAAGAAGGCCUCGGGAAACUUGGCAGCAACGAGAAGAUCGAUAUCGGUGCCAGCAAGAAGAUCAUCGUCGGGAAGAAGAGAGACGCCGACAGGAGUGGAAUCGGCAUAGGGAUCACUGGAAUUGUCCGUUCUUCAUCCAUUGCUGGGAAGAGAAUAUCAAGCUUCCUACUGUCAGAGAUUUCCCUGAGUGCAAUGGUUAUGAUCGGUACGACAGGUCCGAUCGGAACUAUCGUAAUAAUGAUCGGCGCUUCAAUGGGCCGAUUAGAGGGAGAGCAUCUGUCCAUGAUCGGUUGGGGGGCAGACUCAGUGUGCACGACAGGCUUGGUGAUCGUGUUCAAUAUUUUCCCAGGAACCAGGAAGAGCUCGAGGAGAUGGCUAAUGCACGAUUUCCCGACGAAUUCGUAUUUUGCAGGGACGCUAAUACACACCGGAUGGAGUCAAGGGAAAAUCGAUGCCCAGCAGCAAGGCAGAAGCCGCUUCCUCCAUGGUGUCCAGAGGGGUUGACCAAGACACAGAAAAGGAGACUGCAGCGCGAAAGGCAAGAAGGGCUAAGCAAGGGCGAGAACUCUGGUCAGUCUGGAGAUCAGCAGCAAUCAGAUCCCAAGGGGGAAGACCCAUCGGCAAGUGUCAACAUGGUCUUUAUGUUGCCGAUGGAGUUUCUUGCGCCAUCCAGUGAUGAUGAGUUGGAAUUGUCCAACCAAAUAGCUCAGUUGGCUUUGGAUCCGAUGACCGCUAUCUUCGAGAAACCUGCCGAUGAUGGAAGACAACAUCUCAAGGCUCUGUUUGUCAAGGGAAGAGUUGAUGGGCAGCCGAUGACCAAGAUUCUAGUUGAUGGUGGGGCUGCUAUCAACAUCAUGCCAUAUGCAGUAUAUCGGAAGCUUGGAAGAGGGGAUCAGGAUUUGACCAAGACCGAUAUGAUGCUUAAAGAUUUUGAAGGGAACGUGUCUCCAGUCAAGGGGGCAAUAUGCGUAGAGUUGACCAUCGGCAGCAAAACCUUGCCAACAACCUUCUUCGUGAUCAGUGGGAAGGGUGCUUACAACUUGCUAUUGGGAAGAGAUUGGAUUCAUGCUAAUUGUUGCAUCCCAUCUACAAUGCACCAAUGUUUGGUUCAGUGGGUAGGUGACAAAAUUGAGAUUGUCCCGGGAGAUUCUUCUUAUGUCAUUGCGUCGGCAGAGGCGGACACCUAUGAGAGGACCAGGUGCAUUUCAGGAGAAGUUUGGGAGAAAGAUUUUCUCAAGGUUGCCGAUUACGAGAUUCCACCGAUCCAAGCAGUCGGUUCUGAUGACGGUUUUUAAUGGAUAGGUUCGCCGAUGAUGGAAAGUUAGGCCAGGGAUUCACAUCGGCCGAUGAUUUGGUAGAAGUAGAUAUCGGUAGUGGUGAUAAGCCUAGACCUACUUUUAUUAGUGCUAAGUUAAAUCCUGAAUGUAAGCAGCAAUUAACCAAUUUGUUAAAGGAAUAUAAAGAUUGCUUCGCUUGGGGUUAUACUGAGAUGCCUGGUUUGGACCGAUCAAUUGUUGAACAUCGGUUACCCAUCAAGUCUGGAUUUCGGCCACAUCAAUAGCCAGCUCGCCGAUGUAAUCCUAGCAUCCUCCCUGAUAUUAAGGCCGAAAUCACCAAACUUAUUGAAUCUAGGUUUAUUCGGCAGUGUCGGUAUGCCGAAUGGAUUUCCAAUGUUGUUCCGGUCUACAAGAAGAACGGGAAGCUUCGGGUAUGCAUUGAUUUUAGGAAUCUCAAUAAAGAUACGCCGAUGGAUGGAUACCCAAUGCCUGUUGCCGAUCUGCUAGUUGACGCCGUGGCUGGGCAUCGGAUCAUUAGCUUUAUGGAUGGCAAUGCAGGAUACAAUCAGAUAUUCAUGGCAGAAGAGGAUAUUCCAAAGACUGCAUUUAGAUGUCCUGGUCAUGUUGGAUUGUUUGAAUGGAUAGUCAUGACCUUUGGUCUAAAGAACGCUGGUGCUACAUAUCAAAGGGCCAUGAAUUUUAUAUUUCAUGAGUUCAUCGGCAAACUGGUGGAAAUUUAUAUUGAUGAUGUGGUGGUUAAGUCCGAGGACUUCGCAAAGCAUCUCGCCGAUCUACGAAAGGUAUUGGAGUGCACAAGGAAGCAUGGAUUGAAGAUGAAUCCCAAUAAGUGUGCAUUUGGUGUAUCAGCAGGGCAGUUUCUUGGUUUCAUGGUGCAUCAAAGGGGGAUUGAAAUUAGUCGAAGAUCUAUUGAUGCCAUCAAUAAAAUAGUAGCCCCUACCAAUAAAACUGAGCACCAGUCCCUGAUCGGCAAGGUAAAUUUUAUCAGGAGAUUUAUAUCUAAUUUGUCUGGUAAAAUUCGUGCUUUCAGUCCUCUUCUUAAACUAAAAGCCGAUCAAGAAUUUAUUUGGGGGAAAGAACAGCAAUUGGCUCUGGAUGAGAUCAAGAAGUAUCUAGUGAAUCCUCCAGUUCUAAUUCCACCUCAGCAAGGAAAGCCCUUCAGAUUGUAUUUGUCUACCGAUGGCAUGAUUAUCGGUUCAGCUUUAAUUCAAGAAUUUGAAGGGAAAGAGCGUGUAAUUUAUUACUUAAGCAGGAGGUUGAUUGAUGCUAAGACCAGGUAUUCGGCCAUUGAGAAACUAUGCCUAUGCUUAUAUUUUUCGUGUAUUAAGUUAAGGCACUACUUGUUAUCGGCCGAAUGCACUGUUGUUUGUAAGGAUGAUGUGGUCCGGUAUAUGCUAUCUAUGCCGAUUAUGAGUGGCAGGAUCGGUAAAUGGAUUUUGGCGCUGUCGGAAUUCGAUCUGCAUUAUGAAUCGGCUAAGGCAGUUAAAGGGCAGAUUAUGGCCGAUUUUGUGACUCAACAUUGCGGUGCAGUGGAGGCUUUGGAAAUUGUGCCCUGGACGCUUUUCUUUGAUGGAUCUACGUGUGACCGGGGAGCAGGAAUCGGCAUAGUAUUAGUUUCCCCUAAGGGGAGGAAGUAUGAAUUUUCUUUGCCGAUUGUUGCUACAUCAACAAAUAAUCAGGCUGAGUAUCAGGCUUUGAUAAAAGGAUUGGAGUUGUUAAGGGAAGUUCGUGCUGACGCUGUCGAAGUCUUCGGGGAUUCUAUGUUGGUUAUAAAUCAAUUGGCUGGGAGCUAUGAAUGCCGAAGUGAAGUUCUCAUGACUUAUUACGAGAAGAGCAUGCAACUGUUAAAGGAAUUCAAAGAUUUCCGUUUAGAGCAUGUUCCCCGAUUGCAUAAUGAAGAGGCCAAUCGGUUAGCUCAGCAUGCCUCAGGAUAUCAGCCUAUGAUUAAUACAGUAUCGGCAAUCGAUGCCGAUGAUUGGAAGAAAGAAAUUAUUGAUUAUUUGAAAGAUCCAUCUAAGAAAGUUGAAAGACGAGUUCGAUUUCAAGCGACCAAGUAUGUGCUCCUUGAAGAUGAAUUAUACUAUCGAACUAUUGAUGGAAUUCUUCUCCGAUGCUUAGGUGAUGAUGAAGCUAGGAGUUUGAUGGGAGAAAUUCAUGAAGGGGUGUGUGGAGCACAUCAGUCAGCUUUUAAGAUGAAGUGGAUGAUUAGGAGGAAUGGAUAUUAUUGGCCGACUAUACUUGAGGAUUGCUUUAAGUCAAGGGUGUCAAAAGUUUGGUAAUAUUCAAAGGGCACCUGCAUCGGCUAUGAAUCCUAUUAUAAAGCCUUGGCCGUUCCGAGGAUGGGCUAUUGAUCUGAUCGGCCAGAUUUAUCCACCAUCUAGCAAAGGGCAUAAGUUUAUUGUAGUUGCCACUGAUUAUUUCACUAAGUGGGUCGAAGCUAUUCCUUUGAAAAAAGUCACAUCGGCCAAUAUGAUUGAUUUUGUGAAGGAGCAUAUCAUUUACCGAUUUGGGAUUCCUCAAACAAUUACUACCGAUCAGGGCACUAUGUUUACAUCGGGGGAGUUUGAUGAAUUUGCAAUCGGUAUGGGGAUUAAAGUGUUGAAUUCUUCUCCUUAUUAUGCUUAAGCCAGUGGGCAGGCCGAGGCGUCUAACAAAGGAAUUAUCAAGCUUAUCAAACGAAAGAUUAAAGAAAAUCCUAAGCGGUGGCAUACGUUAUUAAAUGAAGCGUUGUGGUCCUAUCGGAUGGCUUGUCAUGGAUCAACCAAGGUGUCACCCUAUCAAUUGGUGUAUGGACAAGAUGCAGUGUUAUCUUGGCAGAUUAAGGCUGGAUCUAGGCGAUUAUCUUUUCAAGAUCAAUUGGCUGCCAAUGAUUAUGCCACUUUGAUGACCGAUGAGUUAGAUGAUCUAGCAGGGCAUCGGUUAAAGGCUUUGAUGAGUAUAGAAGAAAAUAAGAAGAGAGUUGCUAGAUGGUAUGACAAGAAAGUAAAAGCUAAGGAGUUUGCCGAUGGGGACUUGGUAUGGAAAUUAAUUUUACCGAUCGGGACUAAAAGUUCGAAGUUUGGAAAGUGGUCUCCUAAUUGGGAAGGUCCUUAUCGGAUAAGUCGAUCGGCUCCUGGUAAUGCUUAUAUUCUAGAAACUCUCGAAGGAGUUGAAUUUCCCAGAGCAUUAAAUGGCAAAUAUUUAAAGAAGUACUACCCCAGCAUAUGGGUCGAUGCAUAAAAGUUUAAGUGCCGAUAACACUCCUAUCGGCUGGAUUUAAAUGUUUGGGAUUAAUGUUUCAAGAGAUGCCAAUAACAGUCCUAUCGGCUAGACUAAAAGUUGAAAGAGCAGGAAAAGACAGAUAUGUCACCGAUGAGAGCCUCAUGUGUUCAGCAGUGCCUGGAUCGCUGAUAUGGCGCGUAGCCGGAUUUGGUUGGCUGCUUCUAUCUCUUUGAUAUCGUCAUCGGCAGAACCUUCUAUCGGCUUCAGCUUCUUCUUCAAUUGUAGUGCCUUGCGACCGUGGACGUUUCGCUCUUGCUCAAGGAGCUUGAUGGUCUCUGGCAGUUGGCUUUCUUCCUGUCGGGCUUGGGAUAAGGCGUCUUCCACUUGUUUGAGUUCUGCCAACAGGGAUUCCCUUUUUGCCGAUAGGUCAGAUAUCUUCUGCUUCAGUGUGUCUCCUGAAGAUCUCAAGAUGCCUUUUUGUUGUAGUUCCCUAAGUUCUUGUGCUUCUCAUCGGUUAGGAGCUUCUCUUUCCUCAUCUCUUCAGAAAGCUGAGUCUGAGCAGCUCUAUCGGCGAGGCGCCGAGAAGCCCUCUGGUACUGCAGCUGACGACUCUCCAAAUGUGCGGCAUGGAAGAGGAUUUCUUCGACAUCGGCUGGGAACUGGCCUCUGAGAGUCCUGAACAGAACCUUGGCUGGGUUGGAGUCAUCGACCAGUUGUGCCGUAUCCUGAUGGAGGAGGGCCGACAGUUCUUCUAGCUUGGCCCUGAUCUCUGCCGAUGUGAUGCCAACUGUCUGGGAAGAGCUUGCUUCUUCACCUUCUUCUUCAAAGAUGUCGAUGGCGAAGGAGAAUAGGCUGUCGGGAGAAUCUUGUUCCUGGAAAGGAAAACAAAGUAAGUUAGUUCAUACUCGGAGAAUCGGCAAAUAAUACUGAUGAAGAUUGGGUGACUUACUUGCUUCAAGGCUAUUUCUUGCCUUUGACUGGAAGAUGCCGGUGGAGCCGUAGGUUGAUCGGCCAGGGUUGCCGAUGGAACGACAUCGACUGAAAGGAGACAGAAAUAGUUAUGAGACUGAAUGAGAAUAAGUUCAUCGGUGGCAAUAUUAUAAAAAUAUGUUACCCUGAGGAGGAACGAUGCUUGUCUGAAUUGGGGGAACUGCCGAUGACGUGAUUGAACCUGCCGGGCCAGUUGUUUGCUCACCUACGUCAGUUGAUGUGCCUUCUGCUUGGGGUUCUUCCUGCUGGGGUUCGUCUACUUCUGGUGCUUCUUGCGGAUGAGGGGAAGAUGGUGCUUGCUGGAUCUCUACAUCUAGAGGGGAAGGAGAAGAUUCCACCGGAAUGGGAGAUGCGGGAUGAGGAGGAGUUGCUACUUUCUGGCGCUUUGUUCCGGCCCUGGUUCCCUUGGCGCCUUUCCUCUUUGGCUGGCUGGACUGGGGGGCAUCGGCACCUUGGUUUUUGGCCUUUGCCGAUGCACUGGUUUGCUCUAGUAACAAAAAGGAAUUUAUGAAUACAAAUGUAACCGAUGUAAAGGUGAUCAGAAUAAAUGAAGAGGUUUAACAGUUACCUUAAAAGCCUGUGCUAGAGUGGAAGCAGCUACCGAUGGUGGAGUCUGGGUCCUCCUGGUGGUAACCUUCCUCAGGCGUAUACCUCGAUGCACGAUGGCAGCCAGGGUAGGGGCGUUGUGGCCGAUUGAAGAGAUUGGGCCUGAUGCAAAUAGGUCAAUCGGCUUGCCACUUUUGCUGACCGAUGGAGGAGUAUCAUCAACCUGCAGAAAAGUAUAGAAGUAAAUUGCCGAUAGAAACAAAAUUGAAAGAAUUGAAACAUCGGUUUGAAAACACUUACGGUAUCAUUGGGAACUUCGUACUCAGGGUCAAUCAUACCGCGGUACGUGAGGGCCGAUUUGCAGAACAGAUGCGCCUUCCAUUCUGCCCACCACUGCUUGUAUGCCUGAGUUAUGAAGGCGGCUAGAACCCACUCUGACAAAUCUACGUCUGUAUCGGCACUUGAUGGCAGUUGGGCUACUUGGAUCCAUUCAAGGAGACUGUUGAUAGUUUCCCUGGGCUUUAUCACAUCGGCGUAGCAGAGUGCGAUUGGCAGCUGGCCGAAAGCUAACUGACGGGCUAGUGCCGAUGGGUUGUAAAAUUCAUAAGUCUGGGGGGAGGUUUUCCCACUGUCAAAGAAAUUCACUGGUAUGGCCCUGGGAGUCACUAUUGCCAUCAUCACUUCAUUAUCCCGGUCAAGGGCUUCAUCAAAUGGGUUGAAAACCAGGGGAAGCAUACUGUCUGGGUCAUCAUAGGCCAACCAUGCUCGCUCAUCUCUGGCCAAGCCCUCAUACAGAGUUUGGAAGAAUCGGCUAACCUGAUCUGGAUUACCCCCUGAACCAGGCAGAACUAUGACAGCUUCGCCGAAGUUUAAGGGAGCACGUGUUGCUGAUUCCUCUUCACCCAACACAUAAUUUCUAGAUAUGUCCCUUGGGAAACGCUGUGUGAAUAGGUUAAAUUCAAGGCGCUUGUGCAAAUGCAGAUUAAGCCACAUGUUGAUAAACCACCAGGGGCCUCCCAAGUUGCCGAUAGACUGGCCAAGCAAGAGCUUCUUAGUUACUUAGUGGAGGAGGUGAUAGGUCGCUCCAAGCAAGUAUCGGCCGAGAGGAAAUCGGCCACCAUUGGCCAGGAUUUCUGCUGCUGCUAGAUGAACGGAAGUUGGUCCUGCCGAUCGACCACAGAACACGAAUUUGUCUAACCACAUGUUCAGAAAGCAGGUCUGCUCCUUUAUGUCAACAGAGCCUGUUUUGCGGUAUUUUUGAAUAUACCCUGACCAGCCGCCGAUGGAGCGGGUUUCUACCUUAGCACUAGGUUUGGUAUCAAAGAAGUGGGUGCUAUCGGCAGAAGAAAUAUCUAAUCCAGUGAGCAUAGCCACAUCGGCAAGAGUGGGGGAAACAGGGCCAUGGCCAAAGACAAAGGCGUUGAGUGUGUCUGACCAGAAGUAUGAUGCAGCUAUCAGCAGUGACUCGUUCCUAUGCAUAUCGGCAAUGGACAACCUAAUGCAUUGGGCUAGAUUUCUUUCACCCCAUAGGACUUCAUUUGGAUUGCUGACUCUCAAAAACCAAUCUGUCCACCCCACAGUAGGGCUAGGCCAGGAACGAAAAGUAUCCUUCCACAGAUCCAAAGAAAAAUUCUCUGCUCUAAAAGGGAUCCUGUUGGUUUCUGCGUUUAUAAGGUUGGUUGGAUCUGGAUCCCCUAGUGGGCCAAGGCAUUGGAGGUGUGGUCGAUCAGUGGGGAUGACAAUUUUGUUAGCCGAUUCCUGAUGGUUUCGGAGGUGGAAAAGAAAGAUACAGAAAAAAAAAAGGGGGAGGAAAGAAAAUGUUCAGUAAAAUAGAUCGCGAAUGAACAGGGGUGCCAGAAAAAGUAUCAGAGAUGGUGUGAAGGACUGACCUCAGGGAUGAUGAAGUUGACGGCCAUUUUGCCGCGGAGGAGGUGCUUGAAAGUUUUGAAGUUGGUGUAGAAAGAGCUUCGUCGGAGAUCUCGGAGCUUUUGGAUGGCGCCGCCGCCGGAAAAGUGAGGUUGGAGUUAUGGAAUGAUGUGAUGGGGAAGGAGUACCCGAGAAGGGAGUAUUUAUAGGACAGACAGGCAAGGGCAAAUCUGACUUAUCUCUUUGCCGCAUCCGUGAAAUCCGAGGAUACUCAGGUAGAUAUGGUAACUGUUCGUACGGUAAUCAAGGGAUUGUGCAAGUGAUUUGACAGGAAGCGGUCAUUAUCCAGAGAUAUUUUACUGUGCGGGAUCUCCUGGUCGGUCCAUCGGCAGCAUCCUGUAACGGUCAUAUUGCCGAUGGGCGAAUAAAGUGGAGAUAGCCGUUUGUACGAACGUCCUGACCAGUCCAUCGGCAGAUCUUUGUAACGGUAAUAUUGCCGAUAUGCGGCUAAGAAGGAAAUGCCCGUUUAGAAAGUUGAGGAUUUCGAGGGAUCUGCAAAAGAAUAGGAUCAGAGUUGUUCAGAUUGAGGUUGUCGGUUACCAGAUUAGGAGCAUUAAUUGUGGGAAAAGGCAUCAUUACUGCAGAGAAUUUUGGAGCAUUAAUGAUUUCAUACUCCAAAAUUGGGGGGCAUGUGUUGACACCAUUUUUUGGGCACGUGUCCAGGCCGGCAGGAUGAGACGGCGGUGUUUUGUCUACAGGAUGAGUUGCCGAUGAGGAUGGUUGCCGAUGAAGGAGGGGUUGAACGUGACUAAGUUUAUAGGUGGUGAUGUGUCUGUGCCGAUGGCUAUGACAAGGAAGUCUGCCGAUGACUAUGACAAGGGAAUCUGCCGAUGAUACGAAGGGAGAGUCCGGAAGCUGUCGAUCGGUUCGUGGAAGAGUUUCAGCUUGUCACGGGGGAUAGCUUUAUUAUUUUUUUAGUUAUUUAAAUCAUUUUGUAUACGGAUUCCGUGUAAUUUGGAAUUCGAAUUCUAAUCGUGUCUGGUUGUAGCUCUUUGAGCAGGGUAUAAAUAUAGACCCUAGGACCUUGUAAUGAUCUAUCUAUCAAUCAAUCAAACACACAUUUUUACUCAUGUUCUAGCAUCUACUUUUUCGACGACUUCGUCAUACUUUUUUCUUUUCACUACGAGUUCUUAGGAAUUCGUCGACUUAAGCUCGGCGUGUUCUCAAGUUCCGCGUGAGUACCUCUUAGCCGUGACAUCCGGGCGCAUCGCUGUUGUCAGGACUAAAGUAUUCGAGUUACCACCUUUGCCGAUAGUAAGGUCAAAUCGGCUGGCACGCCUUAACGUUUGAAUCGGGUAUUAGCCCUUUGUGUUUGCAGACCAGCUUUUGCACCAACAAUACCCCUCUAACUAGUGUUUUCAAGGAUAUUAUUUAAUAAAUAAUAAGAAGUAUGAUUGGGCACAAUGUUUAUAGCUGGCAUUCAUUUUCUCUUAAUUAUUAUAUCGUUUCUCUUAAUUUCUAGCUGGCAUUUAGUUGUUACCACCAUGAUUAUGCGAAACAUCAUACAAUGCCCAUUGUUUUGUAGGAAAACUUCAUGUACUUCUUAGUAUCAUAAUGUUUCUCUUAAUUUCUACUAGCAUUUCAGUUCUUACGACCAUAGAUUAUGCAAAACAUCAUACUGCGCCCACUAUUUUGUAAGAAAAGUGCAUGUCCUUAUUAUUAUUAUAUUUUCUCUUAAUUUCUAGCUAGCAUUUCAGUUCUUACCACCAUAGAUUGUGCAAAACAUCAUACAACGCCCAUUGUUUUAUAGGAAAACUGCAUGUACUUCUUAGUAUCAUAAUGUUUCUCUUAAUUUUUAGCUGGCAUUUCAGUUCCUACUACUAUAGAUUAUGCAAAACAUCAUAUUACGCCCACUGUUUUGAAGGAAAAGUGAAUGUACUUCUUAUUAUUAUAUUAUUUAUCUUAAUUUCUAGCUGGAAUUUCAGUUGUUACCACCAUAGAUUAAGCAAAACAUUAUACUACGCCCAUUGUUUUGUAGGAAAAGUGUAUGUACUUCUUAUUAUUAUAUUAUUUCUCUUAAUUUCUAGCUAGCAUUUCAGUUCUUACCACCACAAAUUUUGUAAAACGUCUAUUUGUGCCAGCAAAUUGCUAGCAAAAACUCAUGUACUUCUCACUAUUCUUUUCCUAUAAGUACAACCAUUCCAUUCACCUACAGGCCGCAACAUUAGCACAAAGAACAUAAUAGACUACUGAUUCUACAAUGAAAAGGGAGAUGGUGCCUUCAUGGCUAGAGAUAUUACUCGCAACACAAUUCUUUACUACUUGUGCCAACCAUCUUCUUGCUUGCCGCAAUGAGUGUAACCUGUUUUGCACUCAGUGCGAGGCUACACCAGCUGCUUUCUGCAACUACUGUCGUUCAAUCAAUCAUUCCACUCAUCGUGUAAUCCAGGUAAGAAAUGUGUAGUUGUGUAGUCAAUGGAAAGGCAAAACAUUUCAUAUAUCAUACAUGUCGUACAAUUCAAAACUUUAUGAUUUGGAUGUUUUUUCUCUUGUUGCUUCUUAUGCCACCUCACAAUUAAGAAAUGUUAUAAAACUUUACAUAAAAUGUGUUUUGAUUUGGGUGUAUAAAAAUAGAUUUCAUCCAUAGGCCACAACGACCUUUGAGCAAGAACACAUGUGAUCUAUGAAAACAUGGUAGUAUUUAAGUUUCAAAUAAUUGGAUGUUUCAGAUAAGGCGAUCAUCCUAUCAUGAUGUUGUGAGAGUUUCAGAGAUCGAGGACAUCCUUGAUAUUAGUGAUGUGCAGACUUAUGUAAUCAAUAGUGCAAGGGUGGUAUUCUUGAAUGAGCGCCCACAACUGCGUGCUUCUGGUGUCCCCAUCUGUAAGGCACCUUCGUCAUCAACACAUAGCUGCGAGACAUGCAAUCGUGCUCUACUUGAUGCAUUUCGCUUCUGCUCUCUUGGAUGCAAUGUAAGUUAUCACAAAGUACCUAAGGAUGUUAUUUUCUAAAAAAAUACAAAAUUAGGAAAUAAGUUCCAUAAUUAAUGGAUUUCAUAUAUCUAAUAAAAUCCUUAUCUUUCAUAGCUUAAAGGCUUAAAUAUGGAAAUGAGUACGCCAUCCAUGGUUGAAAACAGUCCUCAAUCCAAUGGUAAGGAUCAUGUCACUAUGAUUGACGAUGUUGGUUCAAGUACUACAAGUGACAAAGACAGCUGCAAUGACAAGAACAAUGAAGAACCACCACCAAAAAGGGUUGCUCGUCACCGACGCAAGGGAAUUCCCCAACGUGCGCCAUUCUUCUAAUGUGAAGCUCAUGACAAUAUCCAUUAAAUGUUGGGGCAAAUAAGAUGAGAGAAUGUAUGUCAUGGGUAGAAUAAAAGAAUUAAUGUAUGAUCCCAAUGCUAUAUAUGGUUGAUUUCUUUAAAUUGUGAGCCUUUCAAAAAGAUUUUACUAGACCAUCUAAUGGUUGUUUCUCUCAAAGCAUGCAAUUGUAUAUGGGAAGCACAUAGUGUAGUCAUAGCCUUUAUCUCUCUUAAGUAGCUCUACCUUUAGAGGUGGUUAAAAUCGGUUUUUAGAGGAGGUUUGAAAAAUGCAACAAUGUCACCGAUUAUAAAAAUAAGUGAUUCCACCUCUAAAAAUCAACCUUUGAUAGAGUGCAGCUGCUAGGAUUUGAACUCACAACCUUUCACUCUGUGCACUCCAUCUCAUACCACUACACCACAUAGUCACUUAUGAUUAGUUACCCAAUGCUUUCUUUUUGUACUAAUAUGUAUCAAUCUUGUAAUCAAUAUUUUAACUUGUAAACAAUCUUAAAUGAGAACUUUCAUCUACAAAGUUUUAGAUCUUGUCGAGCACUACAACUUUCAUAUAUAUAGGACAUUUCUCCAUCCAAGGUCAUUUAAAAAUUUUGAAAAUUUUAAAUUCAAAAUCUAAGACUUGAUUUAUAUAUUUGGAACCCUAAAUGAUCUUAAAUAAAAAUUUUAUAAACUACAAAGUGUUAGUCUAAGGAUGGUCGACUUAGUCAGUGGCCCUUGAAUAUCGAUUUUCAAAGGCAUUUGACUUAGGCCCUGUUGAGUUUCCCACCUAAAAUUUUUUCAUCUAUCCCAUCGAAUCUUUGGACACAUACAUGGAACAUUAAAUAUACAUAAAAAAAUAAACUAAUUACACAGUUUGGUUGAAAAUCGCGAGACGAAUCUUUUAAGCCUAGUUACUUCAUGAUUAGCCUUAAGUGCUACAGUAACCCAUAUAUGCUAAUGAUAGAUUAAUUAUACUUAAUAGAUUUGUCUUGCAGUUUCCUGACGAGCUAUGUAAUUUGUUUUUUUAUUAGUUUUUAAAAACCUCUUCCGACAUCCUUCCGACAUAUCCGAUGUGACAAAAAAAAUUUUUAUCUCCGAUCUAAACAGGUCCGGCGCCAAGGCGGAAAGUCAUGGAGGCCGACUGCUUCAUCCUCUCGUGUCGUUGGCCCACAUGCCACAUCAUGCUCGCUUGCCCGAGAGCUGCGGUGUUAGGCCCUGUUUAGUUCCCUACCCAAAAUUUUUUCAUCCAUCCCAUCGAAUCUUUGGACACAUGCAUAGAACAUUAAAUGUAGAUAAAAAAAUAAACUAAUUAAACAGUUUAGUUAAGAAUCGCGAGACGAAUCUUUUAAGCCUAGUUACUCUAUGAUUAGCCUUAAGUGCUACAGUAACCCACAUAUGCUAAUGACAGAUUAAUUAUGCUUAAUAAAUUUGUCUUGCAGUUUCCUGACGAGCUAUGUAAUUUAUUUUUUUAUUAGUUUCUAAAAACCCCUCCCGACAUCCUUCCGACACAUCCGAUGUGACACCCAAAAAAUUUUCGUUCCCAAUCUAAACAGGCCCUUAGCACCGGUUACCUGCUCCGGCUGCCUGCUGUGCUCACUCGUCCUAGCCGGUUGGCUGACUAGGCGCUGUAUAUGCACAACCGGCCCGUUACCCUUCACGUCAAGAACUGCCUAUAUGCUCCGCGGCUUGGUGUCCAUGCAUGGACGGAUUUUUUUUUUUUUUUUUGACGAUUAUGCAUGGACGGAUGGACCAUGGCAGCUUCUUGCUCGCUUGCGUCAAUUGAGGUUUGGUCAUUAGCCACUUCUUUCGUUUCUCAAAGAUUUGGACCUUGUUUAGUUCACCUAAAAACCAAAAAAAUUUCAAUAUUUUCCGUCACAUCGAAUCUUGUGGCACAUGCAUGAAGCAUUAUAUAUAAACUAAAAUAAAAACUAAUUACGUAGUUUGCCUGUAAAUCGUGAGACGAAUCAUUUAACUCUAAUUAAUUUAUGAUUAGAUAAUAUUUAUCACAAAUAAAUAAAAUGUAAAAUAGCAAAAUCUAAAAAAUUUUCACAUCUAAACGAGACCUUGCAGAUGCAGGUCUGGGCUCGCACGUCGACAGGUCCUGCCGGCCUGCUGUCGCUAGCACACGCCACGCUGCCCACACUACUGCUGCCAAAAUAGCAGCACAUCUUUGUGAAUGAGGGGUAUAAACGUCUUUUUACAUUGGAGAUAACUGUUGUUUCAGUACCUAUAGACGGCAGUGCUACUCAUGAAAAGUAAAAAUAAAUUUGAUGGCACUCAUAUCUAAACUAUUUAUUCGUCGGUGGCUUUACCGGUAUUGCUGAAACAUUUAAUGGCACACACAGAAUUUUCUCAUUGAUAUAAGCAACGUCCUUGGAAAUAGCAUUUUUACAGGCAAUUCUCUUCACGAAAUCACCUCUAAAAAUGGAGAUUUUUUUAGAGAUGUAGUAUUUCUUAAUAGAAUCGUCUCUAAAAAUAGAUCUUCAGCGACGAUCACAGAGCUACAAUGCUCCUCAGUGAUGUUAGAGAUGGCGUGCUAGUUGGUUGAUCAUUGCACUUGGUUGAUCAUGUAGUGUCGCGAUCCAUCAUUGCACUUGGUUGAUCAUUAGCAUCAUGUGCAUAAUCAUAAUCCAAAAUAGAUAUUACAAAACUACUCGAGUUAUAGAUGUAUAUUCUGGCUAUGUGUAUGGAUGGACAAUACAUACAGACCUACAAGGCACUCUGGUAGCUAGGUCAGUUCAAGUCACUCAGAUUGAAAGAUCCUAUCAGGACAGGUUGUCUAUCAGAAUAAUGUGAAAAUGCAAGAAGAUUUGUUGUAAUGUACGUCCAUAGGAAGCAACAAUAGAAACACGUGACAUAUUUGCAGAAAUAAAAAUUUUAGACGUGAUAAAAAGGAAUGUUGUCACCAGGGUGGGUGAACCCUCAUAGAUAUCAGGUGACAACAUAUAUAGAAUCAAAAGAGAGAUUGAGUUCGAGGGAGAGGGGGAUUUUCUUGGGGCUCUAGAGAUUGAAUAAAUAGGGCCCCAUAAGUUGGUUAACUCGCCACUGGAGAGUUCACACAAAAGGGACUUAUUCUCAACAGAUAAAAGCGUUGUGCGUGAACCCUUCUUCACUGCCCAUGUGACAGGCAAAUGUAGCACAUUCUAUGUGACUUGGAACCUGAGAUGCCUACUUGACUCACCCUUGCUCUACACUCUUAACCUUAUCAUAACAAUCAUGAGCAUCAUGUAUAGGAGUUGAGGAACCCAAGGAGGUGACUCUCAAAACUAGGGAUGAAAACGGAUCGGAUACGGACGGAUAUCAUCGAUACCACAUUUGUUUUCAUAUUUCUAGUCAAAUUUGGAUUCGAAUACGGAUAAUAUCAACCCUAUCAGAUAAGAUAUGAUUGGAUGUCGACAUCAUAAAUAUACAAUUUAAGUAUUCGGAUACGGAUACGGUAUCGGAUGUUGAAUAUUCGGACUCGAAUACGGACAGAACUAAACCCCUCUAAAUGAAUUCGGUCUCGAAUACGGUCGGAAAAUAUCUUUACCAUUUUCAUCCCUACUCAAGACCAAUGUUGACUUGUUCCUAAAAAACACCAAGCUCAAGACAAGCCCCUAAGCAUAUCACUAGUACAGAAAAGAUUUUUAGAGAUGUCUCCCUUUUCUAUCAUAGACGUUAAACAAGCAUGCCGUGUCUAAUGUUGUUGGGAAGCACUGUAGCUCAUGAUUGUCGCUAAAGAUCCAUUUUCAGGGGCAGUUCCAUUAAGAAAUUCACCUCUAAAAAUGUAUCGAUUUUUAGGGGUGAUUCCUUUAAUAGAACCGUCUCUAAAAAUGCUAUUUUCAAGGACAAUUGCUUAUGUAAACUAUCUUUGAAAAUAAGUGAUUUUUAGAGAUGGUUUUAUUAAGUCAACCACCUAUGAAAAUUAAUUGUUAAGGGUGGUUGACUAAGUCAACCAUCCUUAAAAACAGUGGCAGCACAAAUAAAUUCAUAAAUAUUUUAGUAAAGUUGGAUGAAGAAAAAAUUAUAUCAAAAUAUAGAGCACGAUGAGAUCUAAAACUUUGUAGUUGAUAAAUUUUUUGUUCGGGAUCAUUUAAGGUUACAAAUGUAUAAAUUAAGUCUUAGUUUUAAAAUUUUGAAUUUUUUAAAUGACCUUGGAUGGAAAAAAUGUCCUAUAUGAAAGUUCUUGUUCUCGACGAGAUCUAAAACUUUACAGUUAAAAGUUUUCUCAUUUAUGAUUGUUUUUUAGUUAAAAUAUUAGUUAGAUGAUUCACACAUAUUAAUACAAAUAGACAUCAUCGUAGAACUAAACACAAGUAAUUGUAUGGUGUGGUGGCAAGGGAUGAGUUGCACAAGGAAGAGAUUGUGGGUUCAAAUAGUGGUGUCUGCACUUAAUCAAAACAAGCAAAAAAUAUAUCUUGUGAGCUAUGGCCAGUCUUUAGCCUGUUGGGCUACAUUUAAAAGCUUUUUUCUUAUUUUUAUUAGACUCUAAAUGAUUUUUUAAAAAAUCUGAAAAUUAUUUUUAGGGAAGAUUAACUUAAGUCAACCUAAUGAAAAUCUCUUAUUUUUAGAAUUGGUGGCAUUCUAACAAUUUUUCAAACCACCUCUGAAAACUGAUUUUAACUACCUCUAAGAAUCUUUUCUGUACUAGUGUAUAUUUCUCUUUUAUAAUGGAAUAACUUGAUAUGUGCUAGCUAUUGCAUCCUAUGUAUAUACUAUCACUAGAAUCAAAUAAGAACAUAGUUGAGCUUUUACCUUGAUGAUUAAGAUCAUAUACCUUGCAAGAUUGCUCGUUUGCCUUCCUAGUAUGUGUUCAAUGCUUGCUUACUUAGAUGUGAUUGAAGUCAGACUCAUGAUGCGUUUCUCAUGGUUCACACAACAUAUGAGCAAGCCCACACGGGUGUUGAUGCGACUACCGAAGUGAGGGUGGGCCCCUAUAUGAGCACUGCUAGAGAAGUGUGCUACUAGGGAGAAGUGUUUUUUCUAAGAGAAAGAGAGAAGUGAGUGAUGAGGAGGUGUUGUCAAUAUAUAUGAUAAUUAUGGGUAGGGCUUGGCUCAACAUAUUUUUUUGGAUACAGGCCUCUAUGAAGCCCACCUCAGCAAAUGCCUCUCAUUUUUAGAGGUGGGCCUCUUUCCAUCUCUGUUAAUUGAUUUUAGGAGACAUUAUCUUUUUUCGAGAAUGUAGGCGUAUUUUUUGGGUGUCUCCAUAAGUUAGACAUCGGCCUGCAAGAAUUGUUAUCUAUUUUUUUGAGACACUCACAUUUUUUGUUUGCGUCCAUUAAUUCAAAUGGUUGUUUCUUUAGAAUCAUUUUUUGGUACGGUAGGAUUUGAGAAUCUCAUUUAUGCUUCUAGAAUAUUCCUUAUCAACUAUAGUAAAUUUUAACGUUGUGUACAAGUGCUUGGUUUGGCAAUUGAUGACUGUAUUUCUAUCUAGUCUAGUAAAUAAAAGGAAGAGACUCUCUAUAUUCUUCCUAAAUGCUAGGAAAAGAGAUUUUGAUGAAAAAUUACCCUCCAACAGCUUUUUCUAAAUGGUCAUCCAAAUAUAGCCAUUAUCUAUUCCGGAUUUUUUGUUAGCUAAAUAUAGAAGACAAGAAUAAUUCUCUAGAGUGCGCAUGAGAUUUAGCAAAACUGUUGGAGAGUAAAAAGAUAUAGAAAGCGAUUUUUAUGCAAAUGAUUCUCCAAAUGAUGAUUUAGAGAAUGAGAUUUAGAAAGGCUCUUGGAGAUACACUUAUAUAUAGGAAAAAUAAAGUUCAAAGCUAAAGUUAUCUCUAUUGCUACGACACUAACUAAACCUGGACAGAAAUGGUGAAGGAGCAAGUAGGAGGAACAGGGUGAGAUUUGGGUCUAGCGCCAUGACGCUAUGCCUGGCCUAAAAAAAAAAAUCCAAAUAUCACUUUAAUAAUUUUGGCCGAAUUCUAUCUUGUCCUAGACAUGGCCCAAAUGCAUUCUUCUCCGAGCCCAACAAACUUCUGCGUGCCAGCGAGGCCGAAUGGAGCAGCAGUGCCCAUGGCCGGAGGAGAGAACAAAAGACCAGCAUGAAUCUUGCAGCAGCCUCUUUGUAGGCUUGCAACAAGCUCAAUCCCCUCCUUUCUCUAUUUCAAUCCUGAACUCCCUGAUCUUACAAGAAGAUAAUGGACUCUAUUUGAGCUACAGUCUCAUUCACCGCCCCUAAAUCGGUCACUGAACUAAAUUAAAUAAAAAAAAACCCUCAAACUUAUAGCGGAAAACAUACACAUCACCUCAAUUUUUAAAACUAGACAAAAUAUUCCUCUUAACCAUUCCAAAGUGAAUUCUCACGUGGUUUUGCUGUCGUGGCAGUUGGACCAAUUCUCGUCUCUCUGUCUCUAUGUAAAAAAAAAAGGUAUACAUUUUUCAUAUGAAGUCAUAUGAAUACAAACUUUAUAUUAAAGUUGUAGAGCUUGAUACAGUCUACAACUUUGUUGUUGAUAUUUUUUAUCUAAUAUAUUUUAGAGGCUCAAAUAUUCAUUUUAAGUCACAAUAGUUUGUAAUUCAGUUUUCCUUCAUAUGAACUCCGAUACAUGUUGAUAGUUUAGAUAAGUUGUAAUUCGCAGUAAAACUAUACCUUUAUAGUUGACAUUCUUUUUAUUUGACAUCAUUUAGAGACCUCAAUAUUCAUUUUAUGUUCUCUGACGUUGACGGGAUGCUGACCUUGGAAUUUUUUUUCUUUUCUGAAAUUCAGCUACUAGAUCGGUUUGUGCCGCUUAAUUUGUUGGCUCAUCUUGUGCCUCGAGCAUUUGUCUGUCAUGCUCAGCGCAACAGCAAACCCUGAACCGUCCAUAUUUCACCAUCAUUCGUGACCAUUCCUUUCAACGACGACAAGCAGAGCAGACGAACAACCAUUUAUUUCAAUUCUUCUCAACAAAUAUACAUAUAUACAUGUCCUCACUUUGAGCAGCCUCUCAAACCUUAUCUCUCUCUCGCCUGCCACGAGACGAGGAAAACGUUGGCAUGUGAGCGCCACGCACGUACACCUCCGCCGUACCCAUGCAGCCUCCCGUCACGCCGCCGGCAGCCACCGGAGCAGCAGCAGCAGCAGCACCUUCUCCGCCACCAGCCAUCGUCUCCUCCCAGUCGUCACCAUCGCCAUUAUCAAUCCCAUCGGCAAAGACAGGGAGGCGGCAGCUGCUGCUGGUGUCAUCGGGCCUGCUCCUCGCCGCCGGCGCGCGUGCUGCGGUUGCUGGUGCAGGAGAGGAGGGAGGAGCUUUGGCAGUGUACAAUAAUGGCCCGCCGCCGCCGCCGCCGGUGGUGACGGAGGCGGAGCGCGCGGCGAGCGCGGCAGUGUCGCGGCGCGUGGGCGAGGCCGUGGGGCUGCUGGAGCUGGGGCGGGAGCUGCAGGCGCGCGGGGAGUUCCCGCAGGCGCUGGCGUCGUUCACGCGCGUGGUGCGGGAGUACGCGGACCUGGCGCUGUCGGAGUACGCGCGGGUGGGGCGGGCGCUGGUGCUGUACGAGAUCGGCGACCGCGACCAGUCCAUCGCCGAGAUGGAGGACGUCUCCAUCGCGCUCAAGGGAUACCCAGGUCGAGCGUCUAUUUGCAUGUUGUCAGCUCGUCGAUCAGGUAACUGACGGAGAUUAGGUUUAUUUUGCAGAGAUCCACGCGGCGCUGGCGGCGGCGCUGUACGCGGACAAGCACGCGGCGCUGCUGGCGGAGAACCAGUUCGCCAUCGCGACGCUGCUGGACCCGCACUACACGGACCUCGCCUACGUCAGGGACACCAAGCACUGGCCGCCCAGCCUCGUUGCAUCACUCCACCACUUCAUCACACUCUCCUAGUAGCUAUUACUUGUAUUGUAUAUAUACUUAGACUAUCUCCAACAAUCAUCACCCAAAAUACAAGACCCAUUUAUCCUUUGGGUAGCGCUACAGGUAAAAGAUUCCAUACCUAUUUUUAGUCUUCUCCAGCAACGAGACCUAAAAGAAAACACUCUCUGCAAAUGGGUCUCGAGGAGAGAGAAUACCCAAAUUUGGGUUAUGCCUCUCCUGAUACCUAAAAUGGGUUUUCUGUAUGGGUACUCUGUUGGAGGCUAUAGGUAUUGUGUUGGAGACCCAUUUUGGGUUUGAGUUCCCAAAUGGGUCUCCUAUUGGAGACAGCCUAUUGUAUAAUUUAGCUAUUAACCACGUAUAAGGUUCUCAUCAAUUAAUAUCUCUGAAGAAAAGUUAGAGCUCCUAGCAAGAACUUUCAGGUGUUCAAAGGGCUUCACCUAUUUGGGUCUGCCUCUUAGAAUCACCAGGCCAAGAGUUCAGCAGAAUUUUUUACCCUUGGUAAACAAAUGUGAGAGAAGGGUGGUGAGUGUUUUCUCAUUUCUGUCCAAGGCCGAGAGAUUGGAGAUCACAAAUGCAGCUUUUUCGUCUUUGUCAAACUUUUACUCGAGCCAAGUGCCCCAGGGGCGUCGAGUGACCCACAAAGGGGUCGGCGGACCCUAGCCUUGCCACCAAGGCGUCCCCACUUUGAUCCAAGGUCCCUGGCUCCAUGCAGACGUCUCACCAAACCAGCGUCUCAGGCGACAAUGCCUAACAUGGCCCACAAUGGGCCAAUUGGGGCUCAAGGCGAAGGGCACAGAGGUGCGCGUCUAUAACAGGGUGGAGAUCCCUGACUUCUUGCCCCUCAACAAGGAUCAGGGCGAGUUACAACACGCCCCCAUCACCAAGUCAGGCAAUGUGUCAAGUGCAGAGUAAAAAACAACUCCUACACGCUGUCGAUGACGACUUCGAUGAAGAACCGCGCGCAAGAUCGCAGGUGGUGGUCCGGGGCAUGGCAAGGUGUUCAUACACCCAAUCACAUCCGAUGAGCGGAAGGCACUACGAGAGUCACUGGAGUCCGUGAGCUCCCCCAAGACGGUCAGCGGUCGUGUAAUCCACCAUCGAUCAACAGACCAUAAGGGCACUUUGAAGACUAAGAUCGUCGCACCAAGAAGAAUGAUGUAGAGAGGCUCCUUCGUGUAGUUGCUACACUUUGGAACAACAAUAGGGUGCUAGAGGAGCGGGUAGUGGAGUUGAGGAUGGCUCACUUCUAUAUAGAUGACAACUUCCACACCCUUCGCAUUAGCAAUUUAGAACCCCAUGUGAGGAUGAAGCACCUCGCAAAGGUCAUAGGGAUAGAGGACCUCCCCUCUCCACCCCCUUCAUAGGCACGUCAUGGCCUUUCAAAAUAACUUAGACAUUUAGGCUUAUUUUGUUUUAUUUAUUUCUUCAUCAUCUAUGUAACUUGUGCCUAUGUUAAAAAAUGAAUGAAAUGUUAUGUGUUAUUGGUGUUUUCCCACAAAUAGAGCUCUACACUUGAUGUCUCUUAGUUUCCAGAACACUAUAGAAGCCAAGUGUGGGGGUCGGUCAACUCCCAACUUGACCUGCUGAAUUUUCUGAACCUACUAUAGCAAAAGGUUGGACGUGAAAUUUGGGCCUCAACGGCUAUAUUUGGGUGUCAUGCGAUGGCCCAAAGAGCACAUAAAUGAAAUAGUGUCAGUGCAGGAAUAUGUUUUGGAGGUAAGAACACAUAUGACAGGCACCGAAGUGACUAGAGGCUCCAAGGUGGGGUCGUCCAACCCCACGAUAGACCCCUAGGCCCACCAAUCAGCAUCCACCUUGACUGGUUUGCCACGUCUCCUCUCUCUUUUAAUUCCCUUCUAAAAUAAAAUAAAAAUAAAACAAGAAGAGCCACAUCUAAAAAUAAAAUUUGAAAAAAGUGACAUGAUUUAUGAUAAUUUGAAAGAUAGAAGCGUCAUAAAGUUAUUUCGUGCAUCUGCUUAUGCUUGUGGGAAUAAAAGUCUUAUCACCAAAGUGCAAGAUCUAGAGAAAACCAAAACUUUUGCACUAGAAAAUGGUACAACCAACAAUAAAUCAAUGUUGUGAAGCACUAACUAUGUGAGAAUACCCAAAUGGCCGAAUCCAUAGCACACAGAUGAUGCCCAUCCGAGAGAUUGCUCUUAUUUGACAACUCACUGCUUGCAUAGAUAUUGCAAGAACAGCCUUGUCCCAUGUCUUACAAGCCAAACAUACCAAGAUUCAACGAACAAGCUUGUAACACCCUUGGUGUGUUAAGAAUAUGUAUUUCAUGACCAUUAUCCAUUACUAUGCAUCACUUUGUGAUCUUGCAUUGGAAGCAAUAUUAAGAGAUACAAUAAAUCGGCCACAUCAGCAGCAAUAUUACUAAUCAUAUGACUAUGUGAUGUGAUCUUUCAUUUAAAAGAAUAUUAUGAGAUAGAACGAAUGGGCCACAUCAAAACCAGCUCCCCUCGCCACCACUAGGUCACACCUUUCAGACCUAGUUGACGAUAAAGCAUAUACCAUUAACCAGGCCUACAUGAUACUACCACCAUCCACUGGUUCCACUCUACCCCUGCCACGUGUCGCACCUAGGUCCUCUAUUUCUAUUUUCCAAAAGAGUUAAACGCGUCGGUUGCUCUCGAAAUUUAUAAGGAUAUGUCAUUUAGGUUCACAAACUUUAAAAUUUUCUUUCUAGGUCCCAAAACUUGUUAAAGUGUCACGCCACAAGUCCAUACUAGCCACGUGAGCAUCUUUUUUUACUAAUGUGGCAUUACCAACGUGGCAUGUAUUUUUACAUUUAACACCUCAUCAUACCUCCUCGAAGAACUCUGAGAGGUCAUGCGCACCAGCGCACCAUGACACGCAUGACCCUGCAUCAAGCGAGCACCAGUGGCGAUCGCACGUCCAUGGGCACAAGAUCACGGUGUGCCUCCGCAGCCUGUGCAACCCCAAGAUCAUGGUGCUCUAUAUGCACCUGGGUCUCCUACAUCAGGUCACCGCUAAUGUCACUUAGAACUCAAGGAAGAAAGAGGAGAGGAGGGAAGAUGAGGAGUUAAUUAUAAAAAUAUGGCCCUGUUUGGAUACUCUAACUAAGUUAGAUGUUAGAGUUAUUCUCUAGCUCAUGACUCGCCCUCAACUAACUCUAACCAAAGAGGUGUUUGGAUGCAAGGGUUAGAUUGACAAUAAAUGUACUUUCCCAUUCAUUUGGCUCCUUCCUAGCUAGAUUUGGUGUGGUCGGCUGUUGUGUGGCCUCCUCCCGCUCACAAAUGACAUUGCUCCACAUAGUAACUUGCAUGUCGUUUUGCCAUUGCUAGCGGCGGGCCAUUUUGCCAUUGCUCCAUAUGGUACAUUGCGGGCUGUUUUGCCAUUGUUGGGAGGCGGCGACACGGUUGGGAGGCGGCGACGCAGCUUGGAGGUGGCGGCGCGGUUGAGAGGCGACGGCGAGGCGAGCUGGGAGGAGGCAGUGCUAGUAACCGGGCGGGGUCGUGGCUGGGAGGCAUCGCGAGUAGGAAUCCCGUGUGACACAGCCGAUCCCUUUUCCUGUGGGCCCCGCCUCAAAUAGCCCCAAAUAACCCAAAUAAGCACCUCUUUGGGGGAUAGUUUUUUGGUGGGUUAGAUGCAAAUAACCUCAAUCUAACCCUCAUGUUUGGAUAUUUUAGGGCUAUUUGAGUUUCAAAUAACUAAAUCUAACUCUAACCCAUGAUCCAAACAGGGCAUAGUCCAUGUUGACAAGCCAUAUGAGCAACAAAAACAUCCGCAUGACUAGCAUUGAUAUGCGGUACACCACUUGUCCACUUAACAUGUUUAGAGGGACCCGAAAAUAUAUUUUCAAAGUUGGUAGACCAAAGUGACACAUCUUACAAGUUUGAGGGCUGCUGAACAUUUAGCUCUUUCCAAAAAAUCUUCAAACCAUCUUUAAUCUUUGAAAGGUAAUUAGGUGUACUUAUAAAACAGUAUGAAACUUGCAGUACCAAUAUUUUUCUAGAUGUUGAAAUAUUUUUUGGUGCAAUUUUUGGUUUUAUUUGGAUCUAUUUUUUUUAGGUUUCUAUUGAAUUUUAUUCUCAGCUAUUCUCGAAAUUCAUUUCCGUAAACUUUAUGUUGUGUCCGAGUAGACUCCGCGAUACUCGACCCUGCUAAUCGACUACACCUAUGUAGAGAGCCUUACUUGCCUUUGAAAGUUUUUUUUUUACUCUGAUCACCCCUAGCCCACUUGCUUGUACUCCCUCCGUCCCACAAAUAAUUGUAUUUUUGGACUUCUAUGAUUUAUGUUUGACCGUUCGUCUUAUUAAAAAAAAUUUAACAAAUAUUAUUUAUUUAUUCAUGACUUAUUUUAUUGUUAGAUAUAUUUUUAUAAUGAUUUAUUUAUUUUAUUAUUUGUACAAAAUUUUAAAUAAGACGAAUGGUAAAAUAUGAAUCGUAGCAGUCAAAGAAAUAUAUUUAUUUAUAGGACCGAGGGAGUAUAUUACUAUAACCAUAUACUUUAUAGAUGUGCCCCGAGGUGAACCCGCUUUAGGCCUUGUUUAGUUCAAAAAAAAUUUAGGAAAUCGACACUGUAGCACUUUCGUUUGUAUUUGACAAAUAUUGUCUAAUCAUAGACUAACUAAGCUCAAAAGAUUCGUCUCGUCAAUUUCGACCAAAUUGUGCAAUUAGUUUUUAUUUUCGUCUAUAUUUAAUACGUCAUGUAUAUGUCUAUAUUUAAUACGUCAUGUAUAUGUCUGAAAAAUUUUGCAAAAAUUGUUGGAAACUAAACAAGGCCUUAGGCCAUAUAGGCCCAGGAGGCCAGAACUAUAACUUGGAUUUUGGACCAAAUUAUUAGUAACGUUAGAUUUGAAUGUCUCAACUAAAAAAAGUUCAAUAUUUUUAAGCACUUGUCUCCGGAACAUCCCUCAUCCGCUUGCCUGAUGCUCACUGCUUGCACUCUAUCCUCGCUGGAUUCAAAUUACGUUUUGGAUUAUACCAUACUAAAUACUCUCUGCAUUCUAAAUUAUAAUUCAUUUGACUUUUCUGACUUCAAAUUUGACCACUCAGUUUAUUAAAAAAAUAUGCAAAUAUAGUCAAAUUUAAGUCAUUCUCAGAGAAAUUUAUUAAUAAAACAAGCCACAACAAAAGAAGUGAUAUUUUGUACAAUUUUCUAAAUAAGACGAGUGGUCAAACUUGGGAGAUAGUACAAAAUAUUUUGCUAGGCACAUCCUAAAUUCCAGUCUACCACUCUUUGUGUGCCAUCGAUAUGUACAGGGGCGGAGCUAGGAUUUGAACAUAGGAGGGCCGUGCAAACCAAGAACAAUCAUGUGUAUCAAAAUAUUACAUGAUAAAGUUGUACAUAGCACCAAAAUAAACGUUUGCAUUGCAAUGAAAAAAAGCAGAAAAACUAAAAAAAAUAAAAGAGAAAUUUAACUAGUCUCAGGCCUCUAACCUUUACCUGAUCAUUCUAUUUCUUUGCCUAGGAAAAGAAUCACAAUAAAAACAAGUAGUUAAACAGGGGCAAAAUUAAUUAGUACUAGAUCCUAACAUCAAAUGACAAACAAUCAGUUACAUAUCAUUUAGUCUUAGACAAAACGAUCACUUAAACAAGUAAAAUGGUCAUUUAAAUAGAAGGUUAAACAGAAACACCAUACUGAAAGAGCAUCUAGGCCUCUAGUGAUUUCGGUGAUUAAUGACAUUGAUGAUUACUAUGACUAACGUGUGUUUUGCAGAGGCAAAGUCAUAGGUAAGGUCAUGGUAAAUAGGUACUCGAUGGACAGGGACGUACAUGCCUACUUAAUAGUGGAAAUCGUUUCGGUUUUCAAAGGAUGGAUGAACAUCGUCAAGACUAGACUAGGUCUAAGUGCUAUGGUGAAGAAGGGCACUUAGAGUAGUUUAGGUCUUUGUUUUCCUUUGACCGUACUAUUAAGAGGGGCUUUGAUCUAGUAGCUUGACUUAGGCAAGGCUUUAGGUUUAGGUGUGGUGCACACUUGGUAAACCUAGCACUAGGCAGCUCAGAGGUAGUCCUUAGAUCGAGAGAAACCAACUUCGUUUUGGAGCGAUCGCGUUUCGACGAAGUUUGGGUGCCCAAAGGGGCACCGGACGCUCUGUGAGUGCGUCUGGUGAGGUCCAUAGCCGUUGGAACAGUGUCGUGCCUAGGGUUAGGCACCGGACGCUAGCACCGGACGCACCGGGUAGCGUCCGGUCCCAUACCCAGGGAGGUUGCAAGCCUUCCCCGAGCACCGGACGCAACGGGUAGCGUCCGGUCCCAUGCGCAGGGAGCUUGUAAAGUGUCCCCGAGCACCGGACGGUGCACCGGACGCUGUGGAGUUAGCGUCCGGUGCCGUGUCAGAAGCAAGUACAGUUAGCCGUUAUGGUGCACCGGACGCUCGGUGCAGUGCGUCCGGUGCAACAUAAUGUGCGUCCGGUGACCCCAUUUUCAGUGGAAAACGGUUGGCCGACCUUUGGACUUCGUGGAUACUAUUUAUACUCCUCCACCUCGUCCAUGAGAGGUCUCUUGCCCAUUUGAACAUCAGAGAAACCUGUUGUGGAGCAAGAGAGUAGCAAGAGCCUAGAGAGGAUUGAAGUUUGAGUAAUUUCUUGAGAAAAUCCUUCUCUAGUGAGUUCCAAGAGUCAAGUGUGCAUCCACCACUCUCUAGAGCCUUGUUUGGGUCAAGUGAGAGUUCUUUGCUUGUUACUCUUGGUGAUCGCCAUCACCUAGACGGUUCGGUGGUGAUUGGAGGCACGAAGACCGCCCAGAGUUCCUGUCGGUGGCUCGUGUCAAGCUUGUGAGCGGUUUUGGGCGAUUCACCGCGACGGAGUGUCAAAGAAUCAGCUCGUAGAGAGCACUUGGUCCUUGCGCGGACCAAGGGGGAGCAAGACCUUUGCGCGGGUGCUCCAACGAGGACUAGUGGAGAGUGGCGACUCUCCGAUACCUCGGCAAAACAUCGCCGAGCACUUUCUUCCACUACUCCUUUACAUUCUAGCAUUUACUUUGUGUUUUUACAUUCUUAGAAUUGCCAUGCUAGAAUAGGAUUGGAACUAGGUUGCAAAACUUUUAUCCGGUAGCUCUCUAGGUCACACUAGGCACAAGGGGUUGAAUUGGAGCUUAUAGGUUGCUUAAAUUUUAAGAGAAGCCCAAUUCACCCCCCCUCUUGGGCAUCUUGAUCCUUUCAAUUGGUAUCGGAGCCUAGUGCUCAUUAUUUAGGCUUCACCGCCUAGAGAAAUAUGUCUAACGAGGAUGGACCGCCACCCAUGUUCGAUGGGGAUGACUUCCUGUAUUGGAAGAUACGGAUGGAGUCAUACCUUGAGGCAUGCGAUGUAAAGUGCCUAAAAGCCACGACCGAAGGGUUUACCCCUCCGGCAAAAGACGCCGCUCUUACUCCACAAGAGCAAGAAAACGAGAAGUGGAAUGCGAAGGCCAAAAACCACAUUUUUAGAGGCCUUUGCAAAGAGGUGUUCAACCACGUUCGGAGCCACAAAACCGCCCAUGAACUUUGGAAGGAGCUUUGUGCGCUCCAUGAGGGAUCAAAGAGUGAACGCGAGAAACGCUAUCACUUAGUGAUGAACAAGCUUAAUACAUUUGAAAUGCUUCCCAAAGAAAAUGCUAAUGAAAUGUAUUCUCGCUUGAAUGUCAUUGUAGAGGAGCUAAAUGGACUUGGGCUCACUCAAAUGAGUGCGGCGGAUGUAGCAAGGAAGAUACUAUGUGUGCUCCCCAUUGAGAAAUAUGGGCACAUAGUAACGGUACUCCAUCAAGGGGAUCUUUCCACCGCUACACCAACCGCUAUAUUGGGGAAGAUCAAUGCUCAUGAGAUGUACAUGCACAUGAACCCCCAAGAUGGCUCCUCAUCGGCCAAGAAGUAGAAGAAGGACUUGGCUCUCAAGGCUUCUCACAAGGGCAAGGCCAAGAAAAUUGAAGUUGAGUCAUCAACUUCAAGUGAUGAUGAUGCAUCUAUUGCCCUCUUGGUGAGAACCACCAAGAUGUUGAAGAAGCUCAACAAGAAUGGAGUCAACUUUGACUCCAAGAAGAAGAAGUUCUUCACAAGUAGCAAGAGAAAGCCCAUCUCCGAGAUGGAUUGCUACAAUUGUGGUGAACUUGGCCAUCUUGCUCACCAAUGUCCAAAGCCCAAGAAGGAAAAAUACAAGAAGAAGAACAAAGAGCAAGAUGACUCAAGUGAUGAUGACAAGAAUGAGAAGAAGCAAUAUAAGAAGAAAGGUGGCAAUAAGAAGGAGCACUACAAGAAGAAAAAUGGCAAGGCUUACAUUGUUGGUGAUUGGCUCACCGACAUUGAGAGCUCAAGUGGUGAAUCUUCCGGCAAUGAAAGUGAUGAUGAAAAGGUUGCCGCCAUUGCCAUCGAUGCUCCAUCACCAUCAUCUUCACCACCAUCUACAUCCUCUACACACCUAUGCCUCAUGGCUAAGGGUGACCGGAAGGUACAAAGUGAGGAUGAGAGUAGUGAUAGUGAUAGUGAAUACGAAUCACCUACUUGUAAAAUUGGUUAACAAGUACACAAAAGUCAUAAGAAAAACUAGAAGUGAAAAUGAAAAGCUUGAACUUGAAAAUGAAACACUUCUAGCAAAGCUUAAGUCUAGUGAUGAGCUUAGAGACCAAAAUGAGAUCAUGACUACUAAGCUCAAGGAGCUCAAACUCUCUCUAAAAGAGCUCAAAGAAAAACAUGAUAAACUUGAGAGUGUUCAUGAUGAGCUUAUCACUAGAUAUAGAGCAAUGAAAGAAGAGCUAACAACUCUAAAAGCAAACUAUGACAACCUUGAAAUUGCUUAUGAGCUUGCAAUUGAUGAAACACAUGUUGCUACUAACAAUGUUGCUAAGCUUGAUGUAGCCACAUCUUGUGAUGACUUACUUGUGGAGAGCACAAGCAAAUGUGUUGAUUGCAAGGGCAAGAAAGUGGUAGUGGCCGAGAAUUAUGAGGACACUAUCAAGCUCAAGGAAGAAAUUGCCAUGCUCAAGAAAGAGUUGCAAGAACAAGCCAAGCACAAGACCAUUGUGAUUGAGUCACUUGAUCAAGACAAGAAGCUUGCAUAUGAGAACAAGUUGCUCAAGGAAGAAAAUCAAUAUCUCAAGCUUGGUUUAAUGUAUGACAAGCAAGAAGAAGAUGAGACAUUCAUCUUGGAUGAGUUAGCUAGCAACAAUGACCCAAUCAUCAAGAAGCUAACUCAAGAGAAUAACAAGCUCAAGAAAGAGAAGGAACAUCUAACCAUGGGGUUAGCCAAGUUCACUAAAGGGAAAGACCUUCAAAGUGAGCUUUUCAUGAACACCGUCAUGAAGAUGGACAAGAGUGGGAUUGGCUACAAGGCUCAUCAAACAAAGCUCAUCAAGUCUCUAGCCACUCAUGAUCAACCAAGUAAGCCAAAGCCAAAGAAAUGCUUUGAAUGUGGUCAAGAAGGACACUUUGCUCAUGAGUGUAAGGCACCACUACCACCACCCUUGCCCAAGCAUGCAAGACCAUUUGCUUUCAAUGCUCACUACAUUGUAAGGAAAGACAAGAGUGGCAAGGUCAAGGUUAGCUUCAUGGGGCCGCCCAACAAGCAAAGGCCAAAGAAGAUUUGGGUGCCAAAGCAACUAGUAGAGAAGGUCAAGGGCCCUAAGCAAAUGUGGGUCCCUAAAUCUCAAGCUUGAUCUCUUGUGUGUAGGUGAACUACAAGACCGGUGGAUCACAUUGGGUAAUUGAUAGUGGUUGCACUCAACAUAUGACCGGAGAUCCCCGGAUGUUCACCUCUUUUGAUGAAGAUGUUGACAACCAAGAGAAGAUCACAUUUGGUGACAAUUCAAAAGGAAAGGUCAAAGGAUUAGGAAAGGUUGCUAUAUCAAAUGACGACCCCAUCACCAAUGUGCUCUACGUGCAAUCAUUGAGUUUCAACUUGCUCUCGGUUGGACAACUUUGUGAUCUUGGAUUUGAAUGCCUAUUCAAGAAGAAGGAAGUAAUUGUGACCAAGGAAGAUGACAAUGAAGUGAUAUUCAAAGGCUUCCGGCACAACAACUUAUAUGUAGUUGAUUUCUCAUCCGAUGAAGUUGAUGUCAAGACUUGCUUAUUCACCAAGACUUCACUUGGGUGGUUGUGGCAUAGAAGGUUAGCACAUGUUGGAAUGGGCACACUCAAGAAGUUGAUGAAGAAAGAAUUGAUUAGAGGCUUGAAGGAUGUGACAUUCGAAAAGGACAAGCUUUGUAGUGCAUGUCAAGCGGGCAAACAAGUUGCAAACACUCAUCCAACCAAAGCCUAUCUCUCUACUUCAAGAGUGCUUGAGCUACUUCACAUGGACUUGUUUGGACCAACCACAUAUGCUAGUCUUGGAGGCAACAAAUAUUGCUUGGUCAUAGUUGAUGAUUUCUCCCGGUACACUUGGACAUUCUUCUUGCAAGACAAAGCCGAAGUUGCAUCAAUAUUCAAGAAGUUUGCAAAGAAUGCCCAAAAUCAAUUUGAUGUGAAGAUCAAGAAAAUUAGAAGUGACAAUGGCAAAGAGUUUGACAACACCAACAUUGAAGAGUAUUGUGAUGAAGUGGGAAUCAAGCAUGAGUUCUCAACAUACACACCACAACAAAAUGGGGUUGUAGAAAGAAAGAACCGGACAUUGAUCACCUUGGCACGAACAAUGCUAGAUGAGUACAACACUUCGGAGAAGAUGUGGGCCGAGGCAAUCAUCACCGCAUGCUAUGCAUCAAACCGGCUCUUUCCUCAAAAGUUCCUAAAGAAGACACCAUAUGAGUUGCUCAAUGGGAAGAAGCCCGAUGUCUCAUUCUUUAGAGUGUUUGGAUGCAAAUGCUACAUCUACAAGAAGCGCCAACACUUGGGAAAGUUCCAAAGAAGAUGUGACAUUGGUUACUUGGUUGGCUAUUCAUCAAAGACUAAGGCAUAUAGAGUCUUUAACCAUGCCACAAAUAUGGUUGAAGAAACAUUUGAUGUUGAAUUUGAUGAAACUAAUGGCUCCCAAGGAGCAAAUGAUAAUCUUGAUGAUGUAGGUGGUGAACCAUUGAGGGAUGCCAUGAAGAACAUGCCCGUGGGAGACAUCAAGCCUAAAGAAGAUGAUGAUGAUGUGCAAGUCAUUGAGCCACCAUCCACCUCACAAGGUCCACAAGAUGAAGACAAGGAUGUGAGAUAUGCUCAUGAAGACACUCAAGUCACUCAUGAGCAAGUGGUGGCACAAGCACAAGAUGUUGAUGCUCCCCAACCAACCCCUCAAGUGGCACCAAGAAGAACAUCACAUCUCCUCCAAGAUCACUCUCAAGAUCUCAUCAUCGGGAGUCCAUCACGUGGUGUAACUACUCGUUCUAGACAUGCUUUAUUUAUUGAACAUCACGCUUUUGUGUCUCUUGAAGAUGAACCAAAGACUAUAGAGGAAGCUCUUGGUGAUGCGGAUUGGAUCAUGGCCAUGCAAGAGGAGUUGAACAACUUCUCUCGCAAUCAAGUAUGGACACUUGAAGAGCGACCCAAAGAUGCAAGAGUGAUUGGAACAAAGUGGGUCUUCCGGAACAAGAAGGAUGAUCAAGGCAAAGUGGUGCGCAACAAGGCAAGACUUGUGGCAAAAGGCUUUUCACAAGUGGAAGGUCUUGACUUCGGUGAAACUUUUGCACCGGUGGCAAGACUUGAAGCAAUCCGUAUCCUACUUGCAUAUGCAUCUAGUCAUGAUAUCAAGUUAUUUCAAAUGGAUGUGAAAAGUGCUUUUUUAAAUGGAUAUAUUAAUGAGCUUGUCUAUGUUGAGCAACCCCCGGUUUUGAAGACCCUAGGUACCCCAAGCAUGUCUAUCGGUUGUCUAAGGUUCUCUAUGGUCUCAAGCAAGCUCCUAGAGCUUGGUAUGAGAGGCUUAGGGACUUCCUCAUUGAGAAGGGCUUCAAGAUUGGGAAAGUUGACACAACACUCUUCACCAAGAAAAUGAAUGGGGAAAUCUUCAUUUGCCAAGUUUAUGUUGAUGAUAUUAUUUUUGGCUCUACUAAUGAAGAUUUUUGCAAAGAAUUUGGUGAUUUGAUGUCCAAAGAGUUUGAGAUGUCCAUGAUUGGCGAGCUAUCCUUCUUCCUAGGAUUUCAAGUCAAGCAAAUGAAGGAAGGAGUCUUCAUCUCUCAAGAGAAGUACACUCAAGAUCUUCUCAAGAGGUUCAAGAUGAUGGAUUGCAAGCCAAUCAAGACUCCCAUGGCAUCAAAUGGGCAUCUCGACUUGGAUGAGGGAGGUAACCCAAUUGACAAGACUCUCUAUCGCUCCAUGAUAGGAAGUCUACUCUACCUCACCGCAUCUAGGCCCGAUAUCAUGUUUAGUGUGUGUAUGUGCGCUAGAUAUCAAGCAAUGCCUAUGGAAUCUCACUUGAUUGCGGUCAAGAGAAUUCUUAGGUAUCUAAAAUACACACCUUGCCUAGGCUUGUGGUAUCCCAAAGGUGCAAGAUUCCAACUUGUAGGCUAUUCCGAUUCGGAUUAUGUCGGGUGCCGGAUUGAUAGAAAAAGCACAUCCGGAGGGUGCCACUUCCUAGGUAGAUCACUUGUCUCUUGGAUGUCAAAGAAACAAAAUAGUGUUGCUUUGUCAACGGCCGAGGCGGAAUACAUUGCCGCCGGUGCUUGUUGUGCACAAAUACUCUACAUGAAACAAACUUUGCUAGACUAUGAAGUAGUACUAGACAAAGUACCUUUGUUGUGUGACAACGAAAGUGCCGUAAAACUUGCAAACAACCCGGUUCAACACACCCGCACAAAACAUAUUGACAUCCGCCACCACUUUCUUAGGGAUCAUGUUGCUAAAGGUGACAUAUCUCUAGAGAAUGUGGGAACGGAAAAUCAAUUGGCGGAUAUCUUCACAAAACCCCUAGAUGAAGCUAGGUUUUGCUUGUUAAGAAACGAACUAAAUGUGCUUGAUCUCUCUAACUUCACUAAAAGAUAAAAGUUGUGUGUUGAAACUUGUAAAUAACCCCUGCUUUGCAUAUCAUGCAUACUAAAACUAAAAUACAAAACUUGCAUGUAGGACUUGUCUAACAUGGUUAAGAUAACCCCCUAGUGUGUGUGAAAAAGCUUAACCUUGGAUCAAACUUGACAAGCAUUAGUUUACCUUCAAGUAUUGCAUUACAACUCAUAUCAUGUGCAUGCUUGUUAAUUGACCGUUUCUUUUCGGUUAUUCGUUAAGCAUCCACUGUGUUCGUCCAUAGAUAGGGGGAGCAUUCAAAGCUCAUUGUGAUUCAAACCCCUAGCUUUAUGGCCAUAUGAUGCUCCUUGGCGAUUUCUCGGAUUAUUUUCAUAAAAUCUACUAAGCCUAUGGCCUAAUAUCUGUGAAAAUCUGAGGGUUUGAGAGAAGUCACUCAUACCAGUUCCAUUUGGUGUUCUUUUGUGUGCUUUAUAAGAUGGAACUUGGUUGGGUCAAAGUCGGGCGUCGUGCUUCGUUGAAAAAGUGCUCAGAGGAGCACCGGACGCUGCCUCCGUGCGUCCGGUGCGGUGAGUGUGCCAGACUGCACUCACCGGACGCAGAAACAGUGACCCUGCAGCGUCCAGUGAGGAGCGUCCGGUGCUCACCUGGCGUGACCUGAAGCACCAGACGCUAAAGCCAGCGUCCGGUGGCCAUCGUCCGGUGCGAUGCCAAAAUGCAACCUUCUCUGCGCAUGAGUCCGGUGGUCACCGGACGCGUCCGGUGCCACAUAAAGAGCGUCCGGUGACCCCGCGGCGGACGCAUAAAGCCCGCGCCUAGGGGGUUUCGCGGCUGGUUUUUUCUUUUCCUCUCUCGAUCUCGCCCGAGCCGCGCUCUCCUCCUCCGUGCCCUAGCGCCGCCACCACCGUCCGUUCGUCGAUCUCCGGCGACCUCGGCUGUCUCCCCGCGCACAGAUCCUCUCCCAAGCCUCCUCUCUUCCCUCUCCACAAGCAGAAACUUUUUUUUGCAAAGUGGUUAGGGUUUGGGUAAGAUCCUUGAACCUUGCCCUCAAGGUGUUUGAUCUUUUGUGCAAAAGGAUUCAAUUGAGGUUUUGAUCUUGAUCUCGAUCAUCUCACCAGUGCAGCACUUUGAGGAGUUGAUUCGUGUUCUCCGGAGGUUUCCGAUCGCGACAUCUCUUCCGGAACGCGUCCCGUCUUUGGAUCGUAAGCCGUUCGCGCCCGUCCCUUAUCUAUUCUUGCGAUCUAUAGGGUUUUCUCACCUCUAGUUGUUAUGGUUUCCUAUAUAAACCCUAUCUUGUCUAUUUUCUGCAGCGUGUUGAUCCCCAUUGUCAGUUAGUUGCUAGCUGGCCGUUCGUUCAAGGCGUCUGUUCUUGCGAUGGCUCGUUGCAAGAAUGUCAGUGGUCCGGCAGCUGGCACUGGAGGUUCCUCAGGAGGUGAUGGUGGAGGUGAUCCUCCUCGUCGCCUAUCAGCGGCAGAGAAAGGCAAGGGCAAGAAGCUGGCCACCAAGAAGCGCAAGGCCAGUGACAGAGAUGCAGAGGUCGCAGAGGCAGUUGCAGCAGCGGCCGAGGCAGCUGAGAGAGGUGGUCGCUCUGGUGCUCUGAGGAUUGGGGAUGACCUCACGCCACAGCAGCGGCAUGCAGUUCUUCAGGCAGAGGCUCUUCAUGGAUCUCCUCCAGGCACCGUGACGAUUGGAGGACAGCGAAUUAGACUUGUGGUCAGAGAUCCGGCUCAGGAGGACCCGGACACUCAGACAGAGGCCCAGGCAGAGGGCACAGCAGAGAGACAGGAGCAGGAGCAGCCUCUCAGGAGGUCGACUCGCGCUCGUACCAGACCACUCCUCGGACUGGUACGCAGGGUCAGUCCACCUCCACUGCUCGUGCCACACCAGCCAGAGGCACUCCAGCUUCACGACAGAGACCAGUCAGGAUCCACAGGGAUCUCACUCUCGUGUUAGCCAGAGAGAUCCAGCAGCUGCGGUUCGUUCCGUUUCCCACCUGGUUUCCAGCUACCAGGGAUCCCAGAGCCGGUGCCAGGUUCUACACAGUCGUCCAGGAGGACAUCCACGAGGCGCUGGUUCACUCUCAGUCACAGUUCAGGGAGCACAGAGUGAUUGACCUUGAGAUACUGGGGAACGUGGUUGGAGCAGACAUCCGUCAGUAUUUCACCUACCUCCACGAUCUCCCAGAGUUGCUAGCACUCCCUGGUACUUAUUGCGAGCAGUGGGUCAGAGAGUUCUACGCGUCAGUGUGGGUUUCUCCAGAUCACAGUUAUAUCCACUACGCACUGGCCGGGACAGACUACAGAGUGACAGCACAGAGGGCUAGAGAGGUGCUGGGGUUGAGAGCCUACUCCACCAGGAUUCACCAGCUCUGCUACGGAAACGUUGAGCCUCCCCGACGUCCUCACGGUGGUGAGAUACCACCAGUUGACUUCGUGGCUCCGUGUUUUCGUCCACCGUUUGGAUAGGGCUCCAGCAGGACAGUGGGAGACCUGACACGACCAGCUAGGAUCCUUGACUUUGUGUUGAGGAAGACUCUUCUCCCCAGGACAGGCUAUAGAGAUGGAUUCACCCGCAUCCAGCAGUGGCUCGUCGCUCACCUCAUCUCCCAGACGCAGUUUGACUUGUGGGAUCUGAUCGUCUCAGAGAUAGAGGACACCAUCUCAGAGAGCUUAAGGGGACGGCGUCAGUUGCCGUAUGCACAUUGGAUUACCCUUCUUAUUCUUCGUGCCAGGCCACUACCCCUGCCAGCUCACUUGCAGAGGGAGUUGACAGAGUCCGACACCGUCUUCCCCCACUAUGACCCUAGGCAGAUGUUGAGAGCGCAUCACGACCUCAGAGCUACACCUCCUCCUCGGGCACCACGUGGACCGGUGCCCCCACCUUCUCCUAGGGGCACUCGCAGUACAGCAGCUGUACCAGAGACAGAGGAGCAGCAGGACAUAGCGAUUGGAGCUUUCGCUGAUGCAGAGGCAGAGGGAGAGUUUGACUUCGCCUCAGACAGCUCGGAUGAUGAUUAUCACCCGCCAGUGUCCGACCUCCCUUCUAGAGCACACGACCACGAGGCAGGGGGCUCUUCUAGUGCUUCAGACCCAGCUCUUCUUGCUAUACUAGAGGGUAUGAGGGCAGAUCAGCGCCGUGCAGCUGAGGAGCAAGCGAGGAGAGACAGGGAUCAGGCUGCCAUCAAUGCAGUCAUGCAGGCUAGGCAGGAUGAGCUCCAGCGUCAGUUUCUCACCUUUUAGAAGCAGCAGCUUGCGUUCCAGGCCCAGCAGACAGCGAUGAUGGCCGCUCUCAUGGCCGCCUUAGGGAUUCAGCUACCGCAGAUCCAGCUCCCAGGCACUUCGACUGUCAGGCCACCCACUCCUGCGUCUCAGACUCAGAGCCAGUCACAGCAGCCUCUUCAGCUACCAGCUCAGAGUCAGCCGUUCUCGACGCCACAGCACCAGGUCUCCCAGGGUGCUAUCUCUUCAGGCUUUGAGCAGGUACCUCAGUUUACUCCUCUCCGCUCCGGCUUCACUCCUCAGUCAGCGUCAGCGUCACAGCUUGUGUGGGACUCGUCGACAGAUCCGCACCUCAGCUUCACCUACAGUGCUCUGACUGGUGACCCUACGCCUCCUCCUCUGCAGGCCCCUACAGUCUUUACGGUGCCAGUCACCACUACAGAGCUUCUGUCGUCGUCUGUAGCGUCGUUCGAGCAGCUUGCACCGUCUUCCACCGUGCCAGAGACGAUAGCUACAGUGACUGAGAACCCUCCUCGUCAGCCGGACUCGAGCAGCCAGCACAGCCCGUGACAGCUCCAGCACCCACACAGCCGACCCGGACUGCUUCGCCAGCACCUGCAGCUUCAGAGGGUCACUCCACCUCUUCUACCUCGACGGCCGACAGUUCAGACGAUGCAGCUCGCUUCGAGGCCGUGCCGAGGGACUCCACUGCUUCGCCUCCUCCACCGGCUUCUUAGGUUUUUGGCGCUUGAUGCCAAAGGGGGAGAGAGUGCAUUUGAGAGUUAGGAGUUAGGGGGAGCUAGAGAGGGUUUUAUUCUUUUGAGAUACUUUUUAUGUGUGCUACUUUAUCAUACAUCACGUUUACUUUUAUGCAUUGCACUUAUGUGAGAUACUAUGGUUGUGAGACAUGACGUGUGCUUAUUGUGAUAUCUUAAUGUCAUGUGUUUUGGCUCAUAUUACCUUUGCUUCCGCGUUUUACUCCAAUGUACUUAUGAGCCUUAUGUUUAUAUCCUGUCAUAUACCACUCACAUAUUUGGAUGCAGGGUAUUGGACUUGGUUGAUAUAAGCAUGACUAAUCCCUUUACUCUUAUUGUAACAUGCUUAUUGAAAUCAAGUCACUUUAAAAAUCUCAACUCUUUUCAUACUCGAGGUUGUCAUCAAUCACCAAAAAGGGGGAGAUUGAAAGAGCAUCUAGGCCCCUAGUGAUUUCGGUGAUUAAUGACAUUGAUGAUUACUAUGACUAACGUGUGUUUUGCAGAGGCAAAGUCAUAGGUAAGGUCAUGGUAAAUAGGUACUCGAUGGAUAGGGACGUACAUGCCUACUUAAUAGUGGAAAUCGUUUCGGUUUUCAAAGGAUGGAUGAACAUCGUCAAGACUAGACUAGGUCUAAGUGCUAUGGUGAAGAAGGGCACUUAGAGUAGUUUAGGUCUUUGUUUUCCUUUGACCGUACUAUUAAGAGGGGCUUUGAUCUAGUAGCUUGACUUAGGCAAGGCUUUAGGUUUAGGUGUGGUGCACACUUGGUAAACCUAGCACUAGGCAGCUCAGAGGUAGUCCUUAGAUCGAGAGAAACCAACUUCGUUUUGGAGCGAUCGCGUUUCGACGAAGUUUGGGUGCCCAAAGGGGCACCGGACACUCUGUGAGUGCGUCCGGUGAGGUCCUUAGCCGUUGGAACAGUGCCGUGCCUAGGGUUAGGCACCGGACGCACCGGGUAGCGUCCGGUCCCAUACCCAGGGAGGUUGCAAGCCUUCCCCUAGCACCGGACGCACCGGGUAGCGUCCGGUCCCAUGCGCAGGGAGCUUGUAAAGUGUCCCCGAGCACCGGACGGUGCACCGGACGCUGUGGAGUUAGUGUCCGGUGCCGUGUCAGAAGCAAGUACAGUUAGUCGUUAUGGUGCACUGGACGCUCGGUCAGUGCGUCCGGUGCAACAUAAUGUGCGUCCGGUGACCCCGUUUUCAGUGGAAAACGGUUGGCCGACCUUUGGACUUCGUGGAUAGUAUUUAUACUCCACCUCAUCCAUGAGAGGUCUCUUGCCCAUUUGAACAUCAGAGAAACCUGUUGUGGAGCAAGAGCCUAGAGAGGAUUGAAGUUUGAGUAAUUUCUUGAGAGAAUCCUUCUCUAGUGAGUUCCAAGAGUCAAGUGUGCAUCCACCACUCUCUAGAGCCUUGUUUGGGUCAAGUGAGAGUUCUUUGCUUGUUACUCUUGGUGAUCGCCAUCACCUAGACGGUUCGGUGGUGAUUGGAGGCACGAAGACCGCCCGGAGUUCCUGUGGGUGGCUCGUGUCAAGCUUGUGAGCGGUUUUGGGUGAUUCACUGCGACGGAGUGUCAAAGAAUCAGCCCGUAGAGAGCACUUGGUCCUUGCGCGGACCAAGGGGGAGCAAGACCCUUGCGCGGGUGCUCCAACGAGGACUAGUGGAGAGUGGCGACUCUCCGAUACCUCGGCAAAACAUCGCCGAGCACUUUCUUCCACUACUCCUUUACAUUUUAGCAUUUACUUUGUGUUUUUACAUUCUUAGAAUUGCCAUGGUAGAAUAGGAUUGGAACUAGGUUGCAAAACUUUUAUCCGGUAGCUCUCUAGGUCACACUAGGCACAAGGGGUUGAAUUGGAGCUUAUAGGUUGCUUAAAUUUUAAGAGAAGCCCAAUUCACCCCCCCCCUCUUGGGCAUCUUGAUCCUUUCACAUACCACUAUUAGUGUUUAAAAGUUGAGUACAACGGGCUAAAUGACCGUUUAGAGUUUAGAUAAAUAAUGAUAGAAGCAUAGAGAUAAGAAAGAUAAUAGAAAGACUAAUGCUAAAUAAUAUAGAUUCCAUUGUUGGAGAUCAAUUCAGAAGGAUUAAACAAGGAAAACGCUGAUUUUCAAUUAACUAGCUAAUUAGAGUGUGUGGUAGGGGACAAACUGAUGUUUGAUAGGCAAUAAUAAAAAUAAAAGAUAUGAAGAAAAUAUUAGAAAGAUCUAGAUUCUAUUUUUAUAAGAAACUAUUAGAGAUUAAUAUGAAAUAAGAAUAAAAAUCUUAGUACAGAUAAUAUCAUUAACUAGCAAAUUAGAUAAUUAAACAUCUAAUCUAUGAGGUGUAUUAAGAGAGUUAUGGGAAGAUUGGGGGUGCCAGGCCCCCCUCGGCCCCCCCUUCCCUCCGCCACUGGAUAUGUAUAUGAUGACGUUAUAUGGUUGAUUUGAGAUGUGAUAUGACUAACGUGGCCAGCCAUGAGGCAAGACAUAGGCCUUGUUUAGAUGCAAAAAGUUUUGGGAUUCUGACACUGUAGCAUUUUCGUUUUUAUUUGACAAAUAUUGUCUAAUUAUGGAGUAACUAGGCUUAAAAGAUUCAUCUCGUGAUUUACAAGUAAACUGUGUAAUUAGUUAUUCUUUUUAUAUAUAUUUAAUACUUCAUGCAUGUGCCGUAAGAUUCGAUGUGAUGGGGAAUCUUGUAAAGUUUUGGAUUUUUGGGUGUAUCUAAACAAGGCCAUAGAUGGUAGGAUGUCCUGAAGUGGUUGGCGCUGAUGUUAGAAUUUUGGAGAUAUUUCUUUUCCUCAACAUUUUCUUAGGUACUACUUCCUAGAGUGAGAGGAUACCGAACGACAGAGUGCCCUUAGGGCACUCACAAUGCAGACUCUAUCAUGGAGUCUAAAGUUAUUUAUUACCUCAAACAAUGUGGACUUGGAGUCUAAAUAAGACUUGGAGUCUUAUUUUUUUCUACCUCUUUCUUCAAUAAAUACGGUGCCACAUCAGCAAACUACCAUAAAUAAUAUGUAAUUAAUUGUCUUGGACUCUGUGAUAGAGUCUUGCAUUGGGAGUACCCUUAGACCAUCCUCAAUGGAAGUUUCAUGACACAGUUUCCAAUACAUCCAUAUUUUGGAAACAGUGCAUAGGAGUUUCAUGGGGAUGAAACUCUCUCUACUCCCAUAAAACUCUUAUCAUCUCUCUUCAUUAAUAUAGCGCCACAUCAGCAUAUUUAAUGUGCAUGAAACUCCAAUAAAACUCCAUUGAGACUGGCCUUAGUGUGGCUUAUGUGGGGGAAACGCUUUACCUUCAGGUGCAUGAAUAGGAGUGCGGAGAUAGUUUAGGGCCCACGGUUUAUUUCACAGCAUGUUUGAUAAGGGCACUCACAAUGCAAGACUCUAUCACAGAGUCCAAGACAAUUAACUACAUAUUAUUUAUGGUUUUUUGCUGAUGUGGCAACAUAUUUAUUGAAGAAAAAGGUAGAAAAAAUAAGACUCCAAGUCUUAUUUAGACUCUAAGUCCACAUUGUUCGAGGUAAUAAAUAACUUUAGACUCUAUGAUAGAGUCUGCAUUGUGAUUGCCCUAACCCAGCUCCUCGGCUCAUGUUUGCCUUUGUCAUAUUGGAAUUUAUGGUUGGGGGAGUGGGUGGUUUGGAUGAGGUUGGAGUGUAUUUUAUAUUAUUUUAAAACAUGAAAAGUCCAAAUUAUUCUCUCCACAUUUGGCAUAUGUCCAGUUAACCCUCUAAACUAACAUUUAAUUUUAUUUACUCUCUCCAACUAUUUUAGUUUGGUCUAGUUUCUUUCUUUAACAUGAUUCGUCACUUUUGUUUCUCCACGUCAGUUUUAAUAUCGAACUUUUUGAGGUCCUAGAGGACAUCAUAAUAAGUUAUGUUAGGAAAAUAUAUCUUAAUGUUGUGUCACUAUUCUUUUGCAAGUAUUUUUGUCACUAUUUUGAUAGCUUAGGGAAUAUAACACUAAAGAUGCAAUAUUGUGCAAAACAUAAUGAGGAAAAGUUCAUAUUGUAUUUUCUAAUACACAAUGCGAUGUCCUCUAUCACCUCACAAAUUUUGAAACUAAAGCAUAAUUUGUAAAUAGAGAAACAAAAUAGGAAAAACUUCUUAAGGUGUAAAUUGGACCAACUUAAAUAGAUGGAGGGAGUAAAUUGUACCAUGUAUGAUAAUUCAUGGCUUAUAUAAACAUAGACCUCCCAAGCCUGUUCGCUUCAGCUUAUCCGCUAAAUCUUUCAGUCAUUCAACAGUAUUUUCUCUCACAACAAGUCAGUGAAUAAUACUUUCAGCUAUCCCUUUUUAGACAAGCAAAAAGGGGAGUAAUUUGGAAUCUUUUCUUUAAAAUAAAGAGGCCCGAGAGUGCUCCUUGGCUGCACUUUAUUAGAGACAACUUGCUAAAUUCAGACAGUACUUAAGGGUCUCACGCUCACAAAUCCGUCAGGUUAUUUGACAGGUACAAAGUAAACAAGCUACACACACUCUAGGAUCGACUCUCCAUAGGGAGCAUCAUUGUUAAUCGGCGUCUUGCAUUUUGUUGCAAGCUAGCUUUUAGGAAUUUAGUUCAAUAUAAGCAAAUCGAAGCAGCACAUUAAUUCACCCUCAGUUUACAUUGUCCAGAAGUCGUUUCGCGCACAGGCGAAAACUAGGUGGCAAAGUAGAUGUUGCUACAGCUGAUGUUUUUCUCAGUUUAGAUUAUAAGCAGAACAGGAACAUAGAUAUACUAUGUUGAUCGAUCAUGCAUGAUCACUGUGCUGCUGUGUUGAGCGCAGCUGCAACCGAUUUGUUGCACUGUGCUAGGAUCUUCUUCAGCCUCAUUACCACAUCACGCAUUGCCAUCCUUUGGUCAGGUGAGUCACUGGAGCACAGCAAACCUAACUCGAAUACCGGCACAAGAAAGGCUUCCAGAUUGAAGCUAGACAACCAAUGUAGUAGCUGAUCAUCAACAACACGGACAAGGUCUGCCGGAAACGCCUCAAAAACCCACUGCCUCAGGGUUAGAUUUCCAGCAAAAACAGCGUCCGUCGGUCUCUUUCUAGUGAAGACUUCCAAGAGCAUAACUCCAAAGCUGUACACGUCACUUUCCCGUGAUGCUUUUCCUUGUGCCCCAUACUCUGGUUAAGAAAAAAAAAGACAAGAAAAAUAAGCCAUGAUUGAUACAUUAAUCUAAGUUAAUCAAUGGUCCAAUGAGAAGUAGAUCUGAGCAAGCAGAAAAUACCCGGUGCAAUGUAUCCAAUAGUUCCAGGCAUGCUCACAGAGAUGGUAGAGCUGUCAUCACCUGCUAGCAACCUUGCAAUGCCGAAGUCAGCCACAUGUGCUGUCAUGUCCUGAUCGAACAAUACAUUGCUAGGUUUCAAAUCACAGUGCAAGACCACAUUGCAGUGCUCAUAGUGCAGAUACUCCAUUGCCAAUGCCACAUCGAGCAUGACGCCUAGUCUCUCAAGGAAUCCCAGCUGAUGUGUUGUCUCUUGAGAGCAGUGCAGAAGUGUCUCUAAACUUCCAUUCGCCAUGUAGGGAAGAACUAGUGCCCGAAAGUCCAAGUUGGAGCAUGUAUUGAGUAUCCUGAUUAGGUUGCGGUGUCGUGCCAUGCGUAGUGCACUGCACUCGGCAUCGAAGCUUCUUAUGGCCUGCUCUUGUUGCAUGUCUAGAACUUUUAUGGCAACAAUCAAACCACUGCUUAGUUGACCCUUGUAAACUUUUCCAAAGCUCCCAGAUCCAAGUAAGUUGCUCUCACUAAAAUUAUUGGUGGCACGAACAAGCUCAUGGUAGGAAACCAACUGAUGGCUGAUCAUGUCAACGGAACCAGCAGAAACUGUCAUACCUUGCUGCUUCUGAUUUCUCUUUCUGAUUACUACAUAUAUGCAGAAAGCUACAACUCCAGUUACUACAACGAUGGUAAUAGGUACGAGAACUUUCAGCAUGUGACCAUUGUUUCUUCUAGAGCCUCUUGGACGUAGACAUUGUGAAAACCCUAGACGUGGAGCACCACAAAGCCCUGCAUUCCCUAUCAAGGAUUGCAGGGUGAUGUUUGAGAAUACACCACCUUCAGGUAUCUGUCCUUGUAGCUCAUUGUAAGACAGGUUCAAGCUAGCGAGGAUGGAAAAGUUGGCCAGAUAAUUUGGUAUUGUACCAGAAAGAUGAUUAUAUGACAAGUCCAGAAAUUGCAAACUGGUUAGAUUUAUGAAAGACAUUGGGAUUGAACCGUGGAAUGAAUUGUGCGAUAGGUUCAAGUAGGCCAUCAUUUGCAGCUGUGCAAUCGAAUCUGGGAGACUACCGACCAAGAGGUUUGCAGAGAGAUCCAUGCCAUUAAUUUGCUUCAUAUAGCCUAUAUCAACUGGUAAUUCUCCUUCCAAGAGGUUUUCAGAAAGAUCUAGGAAGAUAAGGCUAUCAAUAUGAAAUAAACUUGGUGGUAUAGUCCAGGUUAUCCUAUUAUUAGACAGCCUAAGGUCUUCUAACACUGUCAGGUUACCAAUGUCCCUUGGAAUGGAGCCGGAGAAUUCGUUAUUAUGAAGAUAUAGUUUUACCAUAUUCUUCAGCAUGGCAAGAUUUGAUGGGAUGGAGGCAAACAUGCUAUUUCUUUGAAGACCAAGCCACUGGAGGUCCUCCAGCAUAGCCAUAGACUCUGGAAUUGCGCUGCGCAGCUGGGUAUCUGAAAGUUCUAGGCUAAUGAGACCAGUGAGAUUUGAGAUUGCAGCUGGAAGUUCACCAACUAUCUUGUUUCCAUUCGCACGGAAUGUCUGCAGUUCAUUGGACCAAUUCCCUAUAUGGUUUUCAGUGAGGCUCCCAACGAAACGAUUCAUCGAGAUGUCAAGGUAAGAAAGUUGCCGGCAGUUGGAAAGAGCUGACAGGAAGCUGAAAUCCCCCUGUAGCCUGUUUUCUGAAACACUGAUCAAAAACAGGGAGUUCAUGUCACAGAGUGCUGACGGUAUUGUACCAACUAAUUGGUUGCCAUCCAGUGCCAUGUAUCCGAAUUCAGACAGGUUUCCAAGAGAAGCCGGAAUGGAUCCACUGAGCUGAUUGGCAGAGAGCAGCAGCAACGAGAGCUGGCUCAUGUGUCCGAGCCCCACAGGAAUGGAUCCCGUCAGGUUGCAGACCGAGAGGUCCAGGCUGCUCAGCAUAGUCAGGUUGCCAAGCUCAGCAGGAAUCGGUCCAACAAAGCUAUUGCCACCCAGUGAAAGGAAAGUGAGACGUACUAAACUUCCCAGCCAUGUUGGCAGAAUGCCCUCAAGCAGAUUUUCAGUCAUGUCAACACUUUCCAGGAACCUGCACGCCACGAGCCCUGACGGAAUCUGUCCAGAAAAACUAUUCAACCCGAUGGAGAACACCUGCAGCAUCGGGAGACUGAAACUUGCGUUUCCAAGAAUCGGACCGGUUAAUCCGUGGUUGUAGGUGAGUGCUAGAAUCUGAAGAGUGGACAUGUUGAAGAUGGCUGGAGGCACUGCGCCGGCAAGAUGAUUCACCUGCAGCUUUAGGUACUCGAGCGAUGGCAAGGAGCCAAUGCAAGAUGGUAUCGAUCCUGACAAGCUGUUGUUACCAAAGUUGAGGUAGGUUAACAAGGGUGUGUUGUUGAAUAGAUUGUCUGGGAUCGAUCCGGUUAGGAAAUUUCUCUGGAGGUUUAUGUGGUUAAGGCUAUGCAGGUUGUGCAGCUCUGCCGGAAUUGGACCAGAUAGGUGGUUGAACUUUAGGGCAAGGACCUCCAGGCUGGUAAGGUUACCUAUUGCGGGAGGGAUGCUUCCUGAUAGGCCAUUAAACGUGAAGUCCAUGGCUUUGAGGCGAUGCAGCCUUCCCAGAUCGUCUGGGAGUGCUCCUGUAAGGCUGGUGUUGGUGAGGUUGAGUACGGUAAGGAAAGAGAGGUUACCGAGCUGGGGAGCGACGACGCCAUAGAGGGGAAGGUGCUGCAGCUGCACGGCAGUGACGCGGUUCCUGUGCCGGGUGCUGCAGGAGAUGCCGACCCAGUGGCAGAAGGACACAGCGGUGGUCCAGUUGCCGGAAAGGAUGACGAGAGGGUCGGAGAGCUGGGCUUUGAAAGCCAGCAGCGCGGCAAGGUCAGUGUCGCUGCUGCUGCUGUUGCCAUUGCCGACGAUCGGGAUAGGAGAUGAAGCUACGGCAGCCGCUGAUAGAGCUAGUAGUAGGGCAAUUGAAAUGCAUGUAGUGGUGGCCAUGGAGUGGAGCUGCUCCCCGCCCAUCUUCCAAUGGAAUUUCAUAGUAGGAACAAAGCUGUACAAAGUGGGGACGACAAGGAAACUAGCUACGUAUUUGCCAUUGUCAAGUGGCCACCUUGCAGCUUGUACUGCACCCGCGUGGUCCUGAGGAUGCUAUCUGAUAAUUCAAAGUAUGGUCGUGACUCUGAUUAAAUUUAUGGGAUAGUGACGUAUUAUCUACCACCAUGGUCAACUAGUCAACCGUGAUGGCACAACGAAUUAUAAUUCCAGGUCUCUGCGUUUCAAGAUUGGAUCCAACUGACCAUGGUUUGCGUGGCCUCCGGGAAGGCGACGAGAAUCGUAUAUACAAAUAAAUCAACCAACAUGUGCAGGCAUUUAAAAAGAAAAAGGCAAGAGAGUUGCUGAAUUAUUUUUUAAAAAAGGGGAAUCGCCGGGGAGCCGAGGGGCACCACCUGCAUUUAUCAUGGAUUGUUAACCUGUUGUCCUCCGGAACAGCUAAGAGCAGCUAAGCCUGUUUAGCGGUUUUGCAAAGAAAAAAAAUACAGUACCCGUAACCAUUACUAACUGAUUGAUAAUAACCAAUUCGCAAGAGUACAUCACCAGCAGAUCAGACUUCAAUUUCACCAUCAGACCAUCGACAAAAUCAGAGAAGAAACUUGCCUCGCAGCCGUCGCCAUUGCCUCGUAGGCACCUCCUCCUCGCAAUCGCCGCCACCACUGCUCGGGAGAGAAGAAGAGGAAUGGGGCGCCACGCCGCUGCUUCGGGAAGACGAGGAGCGCCGCCAUCUCCAGUCCGCCGCCGCUUUUGGCGCUCCCGGUACCGAGCGCAGCCGCCGCCGCCGCCGCCGCUCGGGGGGAGGAGAGGAAUGGGGAGCCGCGCCGAUGCUUUGCGGAGAGAAAUAAGGCCUUGUUUAGUUCUUAUAAAUUUUGCAAAAUUUUUCAGAUUCCCGUCGCAUCAAAUCUUUAGACAUAUGCAUGAAGUAUUAAAUAUAGAUGAAAAUAAAAACUAAUUAUACAGUUUGAUCGAAAUUGACGAGACGAAUCUUUUGAGCCUACUUAGUCUACGAUACUGUUCACAUUUUGUAAAAUUUUUUGGAACUAAACAAGGCAAGGGGGUGUUUAGUUUUUUUUUCUAAAAAAAUUGGAUUUUGGUCUAUUAUUUUAGACAAUAAAACUAAACAUUAUGUAAAAUUUUUUGCAAAAAAAGUGGUUAUUCUCCGUUUUGAAUUUUGAGCCUUGUUUGGUCUUGUUUAGUUCCAAAGUUUUGCAAAAUAGACACUAGCAUUUUUGUUUGUAUUUGACAAAUAUCAUCUAAUCAUAAACUAACUAGGAUUAAAAAAUUCAUUUAGCAAAUUACAGUUAAACUGUAUAAUUAGUUAUUUCUUUUAUUUAUAUUUAAUACUUUAUAUAUGUGCCGUAAGAUUUGAUGUGACGGAGAAUUUUUGGAAACUAAACAAGGCCUUCACCUAAAAGACCAAAAACUUUUCAAGAUUUUCCGUCACAUAGAAUAUUACAACACAUGCAUAGUUUACAACACAUGCAUAGAAUAUUACAACACAUACAUAGAAUAUUACAACACUUUUCAAGCUGGUCGGCAGUCUAUCUUGGGGUAUACCCACGGUAGUAGUUUAUCGGUAGACGGUGCGCAAACUACGAACUCGAUGGUGACGCAAGACACGGACAAGCUUUUUAUCCAGGUUCGGCCGCCGAGUUGGCGUAAUACCUACGUCCUGCGUCUGGUUGUAUUGAUUUGUGUUGAGAGAAUAUGAUGUAUGACUUGUCCUCUAGGGGACCCCUGCCCCUCCUUAUAUAUCCUGAAGGGACAGAGUUACAAGCAAAGUAUCCUAUUUGGUACAAAAUCUUAUAGCCUUGCGGUGCACGCCGACCAGUCGUGCGCCGCACGUCUUCAUCUUGUGGGCCGAGCCACCUCUGAUGGUGCGGCCCAUAUAGGCCCAUGAGGGUAUAGGGGUUUAUACCCCCACAGCUAGUCCCCGAGCACCAUGUAUUAUGAUGUAACACGCCGUCUUGAGCUUCUUCGAUCAGUGAGGCUUGAUGUCUUCAAUAAGCAGGAAAGUCGCUCAAACAGUUGCAACAGUAUUUUGACCAACUCAAAAGACAGUUGAUCAACAUUGACAUCGAAGAAGCAGGUUGUUCGAAGAAUACAUGGUGCUCUAAAUUAAAAAAGAUUUCUUUCCUGAUGAAGUGUGCCCACUUUACUUUUCUGAAAAAUAUAGACCUAAAAAAAGCAAGCAUAUUCACCGCAAGGUGAAGUGUGCCCACUUAGUCCCCGAGCCUGGUAGUAGGUGACGUAGGCACGUGGUGCCAGGGUCAAAAGAAAAGUCCUCAAAGAAAUUCUGAAACUGAGAUGCAUCGCCAGAUGCAUCGUACCGAUGUAGUCCCCGAGCUUGCUGGAAGGCGAAGUAUGAGCCUUGUAGCAAGGUCUAAAAAAUUGAAUUUAUCAGUCCGUCUGCAAUUAAAUAGACUAAUCGACCAGUCCCCGAGCAUAUAACGCUCGGUGGUCGGUACAGUCACCGAAUUCUCAAAUUGGUGGGCUGGUCGACCAGUCCCCGAGCGUAUAGUGCUCGGUGGUCGGUACAGUCCCAAAACUCUCAAAUUGGUGAGCUGGUCGAACAGUCCCCGAGCGUAUAGUGCUCCGUGGUCGGCACAGUCCCCGAGCACGGCGUAGGGACCGGUGGACAAGUCCCCGAGCGUGGUUGGAAACGUAAACGUGCUCGGUGGUCGGCACAGUCUUCGAGCACAGCAUAGAGAGUAGUCGACAAGUCCCCGAGCGUGGUGGGGAACGUAAACGUGCUCGGUGGUCGGAGCAGUCCCCGGACACAGCGUAGGGAGUAGUUGACGAGUCUCCGAGCGUAGCUUGUCGACUGGACCAAACUUCUGAAAAAUAAAUAUAAAGAAUUGGUAGUACAUGAUGUAUAAAUAACCUUUAGAUAAAAAAUCAGUACUAAGAUAAGUUUUAGAUUUGUUAUAAAAUUAGCACGAGUAGUUAAUUCGUCCUAGAGCUUGUACCAGCUCUGGUCUAGCCAACAAUCAGCAUGAGGUGCGGAACCUAGGCACGCGUAGGAUUGUCAGCCACGUCAGAGAGCUACUGCCGACCACCCGGAACGCAGAGGGCGGAUCUCGUGCACGUGUAGGGGGGAGUCGGAGACAGUACCGGCUCUGGAAAGCUCGUGUAGGAGAAAAAACUAGUCGGCUAAAAUAGUUGUUUUGAAGAGUAAUAAUAUCAAGGAUAUUAUGCCAAAAAUAAAUAAAAUAUUAGAAUUGUACUUAUCUUUGGACGAAAGUCUGGUCGGGAGAGUUGCUUGACUUGUUGUCAUGAUGGUGGUCGCGGUUGUCGUAGCGCCGUUCUUCGCGGCGAUUAUUAUUGCGACUAGUGAUCAGAGCAAGUAGGCCAAACAAUUUGGUCGAUGGCCCGAGCAGGUCGGUGUUGUCGAUCUGCCUCCCUUUGUAGCAGGGAAGCGGGUGACGCGUUGUCGGCGUGGUCGGAGACGUUGCUGGAGUAGUCGGAGUCGUAGCCAGCGUGGUUGAAGCCGCCGCCGACGUCAAUGAAGAAGUGGUUGGCACAGAUCGGAUCUACACCUCCUCCGUGAUCAUGGCGGUGAAGUUGUUGAAGCUGACGGUGAACGUGAAGUCGCCCGCCAUGGCCGCGAAGUCGAGGAUGAUGGCCAUCUUGUUCGUCGGGAGAGCUGUACGCACACCCCCUACCUGGCGCGCCACUGUCGACAAAAGCUGGUCGGCAGUCUACCUUGGGGUAUACCCACGGUAGUAGUUUAUCGGUAGACGGUGCGCAAACUACGAACUCGAUGGUGACGCAAGACACGGACAAGCUUUUUAUCCAGAUUCGGCCGCCGAGUUGGCGUAAUACCUACGUCCUGCGUCUGGUUGUAUUGAUUUGUGUUGAGAGAAUAUGAUGUAUGACUUGUCCUCUAGGGGACCCCUGCCCCUCCUUAUAUAUCCUGAAGGGACAGAGUUACAAGCAAAGUAUCCUAUUUGGUACAAAAUCUUGUAGCCUUGCGGUGCACGCCGACCAGUCGUGCGCCGCACGUCUUCAUCUUGUGGGCCGAGCCACCUCUGAUGGUGCGGUCCAUAUAGGCCCAUGAGGGUAUAGGGGUUUAUACCCCCACAAUAGACGAAAACAAAAAACUAAUUACAUAAUUUAUCUGUAAAUCGCAAAAUAAAUCUUUUGAGUCUAGUUAAUCCACGAUUAGAUAAUAAUUGUCAAAUAAAAACAAAAGUGUUACAGUACUUAUAAAAAAAAUUGGAACUAAACAAGGCCUUGGCGUCAAGAGACAAAAAAAAAUCCAAAAAAACCUCAAGAGACUUUAUAAGAAUAAUAAAUUCUGCAUUUUAGAUAGAACUAAAUAUAACUCUAAAAAUUUUGGUAUUUUACAUUUCAUGACUCUAAAAUAAUUAAUAUUUUGUAUUUUAUGAGCCGUCGUCUCCCGGGAAGGAGCGCAGUUAAACAGAGAAUGCUACUUAUCUCAUGGGCCCACAUUUCCUGUGGUCCAAUCUCCAUUGACGACGCAAGCAAGGGCAAAAAGUCUACUUUUCUUUCUCUAAUUUUCACUAAAAUCUGUUUUCAUCCUUAACUUCAAAAUUAAAUAAACUAUCUUUUUCAACUUUUUAAAUUAUGUCAAACUAAUUAGAAUGCUCCAAUGCAAAAAUCACCUUAGUUUUAUAGAUAUUAAUUAUAUUAUCAUCUAAACGUUUUGCUAAUGUAACAAGAUAAUUGUUGAAGCAUAGAAUCCAAGUUUAAAUUAGAAACCAUAUCUGCACUAGAACCUAGACAUGAAGAGAUCUAGUUGAUAGAGAAUGGAGAGAGAAUGUAUGUGAUUAAAUAAAAAAUUAUUCUCUAGAAACUAUCUAUUAGGACCAUGGUUUCUAUAUGUAGUGUUUAUGAAAAUUAAUGCUUAUAGAAACUACGUUCUGUUCAUUUAGCUGAUAAGUCAUGGCAGAAAGUAUUGUUCACUGAUUUGUUGUCACAGAAAAACACUAUUAAAUGGUUGACAGAAAGUAUUGUUCACUGUGUAAUUAUUUUAAAAAAACAUUUUAAAUUAUGCAUUUUACCUCCUUGGAGUGAUUUUGAAUGCGGUUUUGCUACAGUGAAUUGUGAUUUUGCUACAGUGACUGUGUUUUUGUCUUUUUAACAAAUUAUUUCGAUUGAAUCUUUAAAAAUCAUAACAAAUCACAGAAAAAUUAGAAAAUAUAUAAUCUAAUUUUAUUGGACUCCACAUGAGUAUAUCUACAUAGUAAACAUAUAAUAUGGUAUGCUUUAGUAUAAAGUAUUUGCUACGAAGGUUUGUCUUUUUCUUUUUCUAUUUAUUUGGCUGAAUCUUUGAAAAAUUAUGGUAAAUCACAGAAAAAUUAUAAAAUAGAAAAUCUAAUUUUGUUGGACUUCACAUGAGUAUAUAUACACAGUAAAUAUAUAAUAUCGUAUGUUUUAGUUCAACAAAAUAAUAAUAGAAGCUGCAGCUAUGAAUUAUUUCAAUUAAUUACACAAAAGCAUAAAUCUAAAGCUACAACAAAAAAUAUACUAAAGCAUAUUAUAUUAUAUGUUCACUCUGUAGAUUUGCUUAUAUGGAGUCUAACAAAAUUAGAUUUCUCAUUUUAUAAUUUUUUUGUAAUUUACUAUGAUUUUUCAAAGAUUUAGCUGAAAUAAAUAAAAAACAAAAAACAAAAUCUUCGUAGCAAAACUUACUAAAGCAUACCAUAAAUAUACUCACUGUGUAGAUCUACUCAUGUCGAGUCCAAAAAAUAAAUUUUCUAUUUUAUGAUUUUUCUAUGAUUUAUUAUAAUUUUUCAAAAAUUCAGCCGAAACAAAAAAGAAAAUGACAAAACCACCGUCAUUGUAGCAAAACCACAUUCAAAACCACUCCAGAGAAGUAAAAUGCAUGGUUUGAAAAGUUUAGGAAGGUGAUUUGCCCGAUUUGGGAAUUGAGGGAGAAAAGGCAGACUAUCAUAAAAGUCACUCUAGAGAGUCAUUCUCAUCUUCUAUAUUUGACUGGCGAAAAAUCUGGAAUAAACAAUGGCUAUAUUUAGAUGACUAUUUAGAGAAGCUGUUAGAGGAUAAUUUUUCAUCGAAAUCUCUAUUUCUAGCAUUUAGGAAGAAUAGCUUAGAGACUUUUUCCCACACAAGCGCACCCAAAUCCUAGCAAUCCGCCCAUUUAAGAGCCUGUUUAGAUUAUCAACAAGCCACAACUAAAAUAUUUAGGACCGGGGGUAGGAUUAGGGCUGGUGGGCUGGAUCACAUCAGUUUCCAGGCCUGGCUGCACCUGCAAAAGCCAUUUCAGCAAGGCAAUGGUUCUGGCCACAGGUCUGCUGCUCCUGAUUCCAUCCAAUUAAGAGGAACCAAAACAACGCAGAAAAACAAGAGUUAUGCCACUCACCCUGAUCCACACAGAUUGUUCAUCCCAUCCGCAUCCAUCCCAGCAACAUAAGUGAACCACACAAAGGAAUCAGAGGCCAACGAUACAUGAUCAUGUUGGAUUUGGUACACUAAUCUAACAUCUCGGAAAAAGUUUAUCUGAAGAAGCAACAUGUUCGCUUGAGCUGCAAACUAAAUCGUCCCUAAAAUGUAUUGAAGUGAUUCCAAAAUCCGUAUAGAAAUUUAGGAUGGAGAUACACUGUUCCUUGAAUAAAGGCAAUCAGAUUCACUGUUCCCUACAUCUACAUUACAGGCUAGGCCCUGUUUAGUUUCAAAUCCAAAAUUUUUUCAUCCAUCCCAUCGAAUCUUUGGACACAUGUAUAAAACAUUAAAUGUACAUAAAAAAAUAAACUAAUUACACAGUUUGGUUAAAAAUCACGAGACGAAUCUUUAAGCCUAGUUACUCCAUGAUUAGCCUUAAGUGCUAUAGUAACCCACAUGUGCUAAUGAUAGAUUAAUUAUACUUAAUAGAUUUGUCUUGCAGUUUCCUGACGAGCUAUGUAAUUUGUUUUUUUAUUAGUUUCUAAAAACUCCUCCCGACAUCCUUCCGACACAUCCGAUGUGACAUCCAAAAAAAUUUUCAGACAGCAUGCUUCGCAUUUACAACUAUGAUUAGUCUUAUCACCAACCCUUUCAUUUGAUACGCCUUGCAAGUAGCAAGUUGUAUGUCCUUUUACCUCUGCAGCAGGAAGGAAAAUCAUACAGAGAAGGUAUGGUAAGUAACUUUUACCUGAAGUUCUGAAUAAAGCAACAAAGAAAAUAUAAAGUUUAUUUCCUGCUACCAAUCUCGGUCCUCAUCUUGUUUUCGUAUUUGUGAUAACCCGAUUAAAUUAAAAGUUCAUACUUGCAACUCUGAUAUGGAGGAACUAGCAAUCGGUAAUUCUAAGUGUAGGUAGUAAACACAUACACAUGAUACACCCAUCCCAAAUUUUAUGUGCUCUGGUUAAACUGAAGCCUGGAAGUAAGGCAGUUUGGCUCCUGUUAGUUCACCAUAGCUUCCUUAAGGCUUCAGCUUACCUACAGUCGGUCCCCAUGUUGUAAUGCAGCCUGACGAAAACUCAAGACACAAAAAAAAUCGAAAAAGCUUAACAAAUUUCAUUCUUCCUCACUCAACCAUUGAAUACAGGUGAGUUAUGCACAAAGCAGCACAAACUGUUAUCAAGUUUGUACCUACAUUUGCAAGAGCCAACCAGUAAAGAUGGACUGACCAGCUCCACAAAGCCACAACUGAUUUUCUAGUAAAUUUCAAAUCCUCUAGGAAAGUUUCAUUGUAUCACCGUGCCUGAUUUUCUAGUAGGACCAUCAAGAAUCCGUUUCAUGUAAUGUUACAUCAUGAACAUGAGUAAGCGAUGACAGAGUCGACGCAAAUGCAGCACAUAACAAAGAGAGCCACAAGGUAGAAACAGAGAGCGGAUCUAGUAAUGUUUAUCACAUUUCAUUUAGUUCUAGUAAUAAUUAACAAACGACCCAAACAAUACAAUAGCCUCUGCUUAAUAUUGCAGAGCACUGAAUUACCGAGUUCACCACGAGAGCAGCAGGACACAAACGAGAGCAAAGUAGCAGCAGAGCACAAGGGCUCGCAAGCAUAUACCGUGCCAACGGACCUUUAUUACGGCACAGCUAUAGGAGACCGGGAACACACAACAGCCAGUCCACGGACUCACUGGUGGACGAGGCAGCCUUCAGCGACAGGCAUUGGGGAAACUGGGACAGGAGCAAAGGUGGUGGUGCCCUUGCCCUCACUGGCUUCCUCCUCUUCCUCGUCAGACAGAACCAGGCCAGCAGCGCUGAAGAUGUACGCCUUCACUUCCUCGAAGCGCUCCUCAGAGAGGGAGACCUCAGCGAGGAGCUUCCACGCAGAGGUUUCAGAUGCCUCCUCAUAGUCGCUCCUCCGCUUCAGCACGAUGUGGCCACUUAUCUCCCACACGGCUGGGUUCACCUGAGUGUCCAGCAGCUCCUGGCUCACUUCACCCAGAGCCUGCUUCUCUGCAUAACACUGCAUUAUUGAAGAGAUAAAAGUUUGUUAGAACAUCACAAAGAGAGUUCCACCAAUUCAGUCCAGAUUCUACAAAACCCAGAAAUUGUGUAAUGAUUUUACCUGGGGGAACAGGAAGACCCUCUUUCCACAGUCAGAAAUGAGCACGUUGUAAGGCACAUUGUUGUCCUGCAGCCAAAUGCAAGCAUUGGAAACCACAUUUGCCAGGUCCUCCAGUGUGUUCCCUCCCUCAAAUACCAGGCCUCUCACAGGAUAAUUUAUCAGCUUGGACACGGUCACUCCAUUCUUCAUUGUGUCCUCAGAAAGAGGGAUCUUGAGGGUAGCUGCCUUCUCGACAGGGAAAGGCACUGACAAGUAGUAUGCCUGUAAAGAAAACAAGAUAUUAUCAUUCAGUUAAACAACAUUUUCGAAAAAAGAAGUUACCACAAUAACACUAUCUUCACAAUACUGAAUAUGCUCCUAUUUGAUUAGGAUUUUGUAGUAAGAAGUAAAUUUAGAUACCAUCAGAAGUUUAAUACCUGAAAGUGGAGGUGAUUGAUGGUGGCAAAGGCACCCAAGCUAUUGUAACCAAGCCUGAAGUAAGGGCUAGCUGCCUCAGCUGCCAUUUGCAGUGCAAGCAAGAAGCUCUCUGGAUCAAUCUUCUGAGGCAGGCGGUCCAGAACACGAGGAAUGAGAAGCACAUGUCCAUAUUCAAUUGGGCUCACCUGCAAACCAUCACAAACAGUCAUUGGAAACAAGAAUAGGCGAGAUAGAAUGGAAGUUGGAUUGCAAGUGUGAAUGAGAGAUGUACAUUGAUAGCAACAACAUUUGGAGCACGAUCAACAGCAAUGAUUGGAGCGUCAUUCAGGAAAUAGCUGUCAUCACCAUCACCAUUCUCAAAUUGGAAGAGAACCUCUUCCUGGCCAACUUUGGUGAAAUUGAACUUGGCAGGGUCAAAUGGCUGGAGCACACGGUCCACACGAAACUCAGUAGGGCGCUUCUUAAGGUGGCGCCCUUCAUUGAGUUGUGCAACAAACCCAAGGUUGCCAGGGAUGACCUUGGUCUCACAGGCAGUGACAUCAUAGCGGAAUAAGCCUCGGGCCAUCCUGUCUUCCCACUGCCAGAAUACAAAGCAAAAUACUAAACUCAGAAUCUGAAUCCCGAAAAGAGAAAUAUGAGAAGUAGACUUCACUAUUCACCUAUUUCAGCGAACUUUCACAAUAAAGUAUUUUCUACUUUUAUAGAAUGUGUUACAGAACAAAACGUAAAACUGUCCAUAUAUCAUUCAAAACCAGAGCAGUGCCAGUUCUAGUGCCAUUGUAAGGUAUAUAUUAAUCAAAAUAAGAAUGGUCCAUAUUUGAAGAUCUUAGACACUAUUCUGGCAGCAACUAUCAUCAUCUUACAAGUUGUACAUGCAUGCAUUUGCUACUGCUCAAGUGCACUUAAGGACCGUUCGGUUUGUGCCUGGCAGAUUUUUCCACUGCUCAACACUGCACUUACAAGAAUGGUCCAAAUAUGUUUACCCAACUUUUUAAGAGAUUUGCAUAUUUCUUACUAGACUAGAUGUAGAUAAAUUGAUUCCUAAUAUCCUAAAACUAGCACAGUUGAAGUCCCAACAAAAAUCACAAGCUUUUAUUUACCUCGCUAAGGAGGAUAUCAACAAGCAGCUUGGUUGAAGCAGCACCCUCCUGCGAGCGCUUUGCCGGAUUCAACUUGAACGCGUAGAGGGGAAGCUUGGAAGCUGCUCAAAGAAAGAUGGAAAUGUUAAUACAAUAAAAGUGCAGCAUGAUUUGCUACUUUCAUGUCAAGUGAAGCAAAUAAUACUACUACUUUUUUUUUGGUACAUGCAGAGCUGAUGUCUCAGUGAGUUUCAAACUGAGAGUUGAAAGAAACCAUAUUUUCCAGUGAGGCAUACAAUAGGCACAUAAUAAUACAAAAGGCUCUCUGUUUUGCUUGCGUUAGUUAUGAUAUGAUGGCCGGGGGUCCCGACUGAGAAUUUAUGAUAAAUAUCUACAGUUGGCUAAGAUGUUUGUUCAUUACUAUAUCCUCAUUUAAUCCAACCCAAUUCGAGGAGGGGUAACAGUCAGUUGUUACCCGAAAACUACUGGCGGUAGCAAUUUUUAACCGGAGGGAGGAUUAAAAAUAGUGCAGAUAAAAAAAGCAACACCCUGUUGCGACUGUUGAGGUGCAAAGGCCCCCCAACUUUCUGGAGCACAAACGACACCUUUUGCUGUACAAAGUUUGGGAAUUUUGUGAACGAAGCAUGCACGAAUCUUCCGGGCACGAUUUAAAAUGGGACAGGAUCCAAUACAAACCCCUGAUUUUUUUUUCAACCGGAUUCCGGACGAAAACGACGUCAGAUUUGAGAGUAAAAAAUAAGGAAUUGCGUGGGGUAGGUGGCUCACCAGGCAGGCAGCAGUCGCCGAGGCAGUUCCUCCCGCAGCCGGCGCGCGGCUUGUCGGCGUCGUCCUGGUAGUUGGAGACGACGGUGGGCACCCUCUUGAUGGUGAGCUUCAUCUCCAUGCCGGCGGGUGGGUGGGUGGGUUUACUCUCGGGGUGAGAACUCGUCGGGGGUCGGGGGGGGGUUAGCUAAGAGAGAGGGGCUAUUCGCUAGACAAGGAGGAAGGGGUGGGGGUGAGAGAGAGAGAGAGAGAAAGGAGCGGCUGCGGCGGCUCAGAGGGUCCGACCGCCGCCGGCGAGGAAGAGUAGAUCGGACGGGCUUCCUCCGGCCGAGGGCAGCGCCCCGCGGCCGCCGUGCGGGGCGGGGCUUGCCGCGACGGCGGAGGCGAUGGUCCCCGUUGGCUCCACCUGCGCAGCUGGGGGGCCGCGCCGGGGGGCUGCAACGCUAGCCGUGAUUGCCUACAACUCGGCCACGCCCCGAGGGGAGGGAGGAGGAAGGGGGCAGGCUGCUGCGCGGUUGCGGAAUCUGUUGCCGAGGCGGCCCUGCGCCCCGGGGUCGGUUCUCCUGUUCUCUCCGGCGAGGCGGGAGGCGGCAGCGGCGGUGCGUUGGGGGUUGCGCUGGGUUUGGUCUGGGAGGGGGAGGAGGAGGCGGGGUGGCAUUAAAUAGGGGGGAGGAGGUGGGGGAGGCGGAUUUGUGGUGCCGCUGGUGCGUGAGCUGCUGUGUGGUGGAUCUCAACGGACGGACACGACACGACCCCGAUCCUCUCUGCAGCAGCGCCAGAUGGCCAGAACCACGGCGCUCUAUGCGUGCUGUUAUUUUUUCUUUGUCUUCUUUCUGUUAUUACUACUGUACUCGUUGUGUUGUGUUCUGUGUUCGGUUUUUUUCCUCCGGUGGUUCACGGUUCGCGUUCUGGGGUUCCUGGACCAGGAGCAUCUGCUUUCUCUCAGCAAAAGGGCCCGUUUGUUUUCUUUUCAAAAAAAAAAGAACACGCUAUGUACACAGACAUUCACAUGUACAUAUAUUUAUUUGAUAUAUAUAUAUAUAUAUAUAUAUAUAUAUAUAUAUAUAUAUAUAUAUAUAUAUAUAUACACGGCAGCGCUAUUCUACACCGCAAGUCAAAUUUGAGCAGAAAAAAUACUGAGCAGUACUGAACCACGUUCAGUAUCGAUACUACACUCAGGACCGCGAAAUACUGAACAAUACUGAAAUGCGAAUACUGAACGAUACUGAAUUCCGUUCAGUAUAACACUUUGGUGUAGAAGAAUAGCACUUAUCUCUUACAACUAAAAAGACUAAAGAGUGGACAUUUUUUGGUGCAGCUAUUGUCUUCGUCCGUCUGCCAUCUACUCCUGCGAACAUGACCCUCGCCGCCUCGCGUGCCGCGGAUGGGACUGCGUAGAUCAAGGAAAGAUUAAAGCUUUAUCCAAGGAAAGAUUGAAGCCGUAUGCUGUAUACCUCGAUCAUUAGUUCAUUAUUAGGAAACACAAAUUCCAUCCCGCAAUCGCGUCGGUCUCCUCCCUGCUUCUCGCUAUCCUUGUGACCGCGACAUUGCUCCCCACGGUGCUGGCUGUUGCGUGCACAGAGACGGCCCUACUCCGCCGCCCAGAACAAGAGCAGCGGCAGCGCCUCCGUUACCAUGCGGCGUGCUUCCAGAACGCCAAGACGGAUGCGUGCGUUGACGACAUCUGCUAAUAGGACUAGCUAAUCUAUCUGCUGGUUUCCCUUCACCUGCUGAUCGGAGAAAGCUCUCGGCGAGAUCAACUCGCUGAGUCGCUGUCUGAAAUCCUGAAUGAGCUUUGUGGCCGGCAGCUCCGAGGCUCAUCAACUCUGUUUCUUGAUCCCGUCGGAGCAAGCACCAGCUCCCGCGGUACAGCCUCAUCAUCCGUUCGCCAUGAACCGGAGGUCGUCGGCGAGGAGGAGAGGCGAUCCUCACCCUCACCGCCGGGGCGCAAUGCACGGUGCCGUCGAGCCAGCAGAAGCAGCAACACCGUGGCCGGCCGCAGGGAACGCGGGCAGCGGCAGCGGCGGCGGCGCCGCCCGUGCCGCCGGGCUACUUCACGGCGGAGCUGGUGCUGGCGUUCCUGUUCGUGGCCGUGUCGCUGGCAUUCCUCCCGCUGGUCCUGCCGCCGCUGUCGCCGCCGCCGUUCCUGCUGCUGCACGGAGGAAUCCGUCGGCUCUAGGUCCAUCUCCGGCCUCGACUUCGUGGUCCACCCAUUAGACGACAGCUGUUGGCUGGUGUUCUCCGAUGACACUGCGUUCGCAUUCCCGGCCUCCCGCGGCGCCGCGGUGGUGCAGCUCUGCGACUUCAAGGUUGAGUUUUCCAUCUGUCGGUGCAGCUCUGCCACUUCAAGGUUGAGUUUCCAUCGAUGACAUCGCCGAGUUCCUGGUGUUCCCAACUGAUAACUUGCUGCUGCUCCGGCUCUCGGCAGCAUCACGGCGGCGCAGUUGGUCAACCAGGGUAUGCCCACCCCUUCCCUGCUCUCCUUCUGUGCAAAAGCAGACACCUAAGCAUCAUAUGUAAUGCGGGCAACAUCUUUGACAAAAUGUCUCUGUUCUUUUUUUCCUUGCGUGACAGAACAUGACAGGUUAAGUAAAACUUUAUACUAAAACUGAGAACAUGACAAAAUGUCUUCCCAUGCAUAGCAUAAGUGAGUCUGUUCCUCUUUGCUGUCUUGAUCAAUACACCAGCAGUGAAGGAGCCUGAGGAAUAAAGAUUAAUAAACUGAAAAUUCCAAGUACAACCCCUACAGUAGGUAUGCAAUUUGAACAAAGGUAAUAGAGUAAUAUGUGCUUGACUGAUAGUUCCAUAUUUAAGUUUAGUAAGAAGCCUGUUGAAGAAUCUCCAAACAUCAAAACAUGCAUUAGGUGGAGUUCACUGCAAUAAGAAACAAAUCACACUCAGAUUAGCAAUGCACAUAAGAGUUUCACGGAUGUACGAUUUAGCAUUCUAUGACAACAUGUGCAACAAGCUUGUUAUGAGUCAUUCAAAACCAUACUUGGGUUAAAAAAAGAAGUACGAUACUUAGUAAUUUAUCAUGUGUGUGAGUUGAAUGAGGUCUCGAUCAUACUAAAGAGUUAUUGUUUUAGCCCUCAUCUGAUGCUAGCCACAGCAUAUCUGAGAGAGCCUGCAUGUUUAGUAUCUUGUGAAACAACAGUUGUAGCUCUUUGACCAUCGGCAAGGCUUCUUUGUUCUUUCUCAUAGUUCAGAGGUUGCAUUAUGUCCAGAACAUGUCAUUUUCAGAUAUAGCAAGCUACUGCUCCAUUUUCAGAAAACUGCUCCAUGGUAGUUGUUGGAAGAUGAAGGCCUAUCAUACACGAUGUAAUACCGUAGUGAAGUCUCGACUAUUCUAUGGUCAGAUCAUUUAGAUGCCACAUCUCCUUCCCAAAUAUGGACUACCAAGGUACAACUCUCACCAAAGCCAAGAGGCAAAGAAGUGUUUAGGCAGAUACAUGUGUCGUGUGAUAGCUUUUUUUCCUAAACAAUGUGUUAUCAAAAGUGUAUUAAUACUAAUUUAAUGACCAAAUUAGGAUUUGAACUACUAAGAAUGCCCUGGAAUUGUACAACACUAUUGGUCAAACAAUAUUUUUUUUAUUUAUGUGUCUAAAAUUCCUUUUCUCGUAUCGGUGUAUAUUUCAUAAAAUCCAAUUGUACUUUUUUUUGGAAAUUAGGAUACAUUUAUUUGUUCCAGAGAUUAGUUUUGCUUCAAGUUAACUUAUAGUUGGAUUCUAUAUAUGUCCACUUCUUUUUGUGUUCAUAUCAGAGUUCUCAAUGCAUGAUUGCUUGCAGGGUAAAUCAAAGUUAGAAAGGAGCCAUCAUAUCAGGGUUCUGGAAGGUGUGUCCCUCCUACUUCUUAGGGCUAUUGAGGCCUUGUUUAGUUCUCUGAGUGAAAAGUUUUCGGGGGAUUGUAGCAUUUUCAAUUGUAUACAUUUGAUAAUUAUUGUCUAACCAUGGACUAAUUAGGUUCAAAAAAUUCGUAUCACAAAUUAUAGGAUAGGUUCAAAAGAUUUGUAUCACAAAAUAUAGGCAAACUAUACAAUUAGUUAUUUUUUAUCUAUAUUUAAUGCUCCAUGCAUGUGCCACAAAUUCGAUGUGACAUAAAAUCUUGAAUUUUUUUUGAAUUUUGGGUCAAAUUAAACAAGGCCAGAGCAUUCUAAGAAGCUAAACCCUUCGAGAACACUGCUAGAUGGAAAGUAGUUUUUCACAUGUCAUGUUUUAUACACAAGCACUUUGUGUCUGUAUUAAUUUUAUGAACUCUGUUUUUUUAUUAAAUAUCACUUUAAUGUUGAUUUUUAAUUUCGUAGUAUUAUUAUCUUAUCAUGCGAUACAUAUGGAUUUAGUACAAAAGUCUAACUGUCCCGUAGCAACGCACGGGUAUGCUACCUAGUGUAUAUAUAUAUAUAUAUAUAUAUAUAUAUAUAUAUAUAUAUAUAUAUGGAGACUCAGAGGUUUUUCUCGACUCGUGUGUAGGGUUGUCUUACGUCGCAAAUCAAAUUUUAUACACACACGUCACAAUUAUUAUUUUAGGUCAUAUUGGCAUAACUCCGCUUCACAAAUAGAGUUGUUUUAGCUUCAACUCCACGAGCAGAUCUACUGAUGAAGGUGAAGUUAGGUAAACUUUUUGAAACCAUGCUCUUUCAACUUAGACCUCUGCCUCCAUGCAGCAGAGCAAGUUGAAGCACGGAGAAGCAGCCCUUGUUAGUAGCUAUCCUACGGUGUUUUACUUUCAAAAUGCAGCAAGAGCUGAGUUAAAGUGCAGCCAAAUGGGGCCUAACAAUUCUCGAUUUUAUCCCAAACCAAUCCCUUGGGGGAGCAUGUUUUAAGAAGUUUUUUUACAUGUGAAGAUGUUUCAAAAAUACACGUUUUGCAUAAAAUAGUUCUAAACAGCUCAUAAACCUAUUGAAGAAGUUCUUAAACAGUGGUAGAGAAACGAGGAGGCUAAGGCUAAGCGUAGAUUGAAAACUUUAUUCUCGGAGUUUUCUAGGGACUAGAUGACGUUUCUAGUGGAGAUUAUUGUAAGGCCUUGUUUAGUUCUAAAAAAUUUUGGAAAAUCGACACUAUAACACUUUCGUUUGUAUUUGACAAAUAUCAUUUAAUCAUGGACUAACUAGGCUCAAAAGUUUCGUUUCGUCAAUUCCGACCAAAUUGUGCAAUUAGUUUUUAUUUUCGUCUAUAUUUAAUACUCUAUGCAUGUGUCUAAAGAUUCGAUGUGACGGGGAAUCUGAAAAAUUUUGUAAAAUUUUUUAGGAACUAAACAAGGCCUAAGAAUGCUCCUAAUGGUUAGGUUCUGUUUUUUUUUGGCAACUAUAAACAUCCCAUCAUAGUGCCCAACAAGCCUUGACGAUAGCCUUGAUCGCCCGAGGUGGAAGGUCUAUGGCCAUAGCCAAGUACGUAUACCAGCAUAGACUUUGCAUAUAUUGACCAAUAUCCUUCUGCUAGCCCCUUUUAACAAAUCCACUUUUUCUAGCUUGAGAGUUGAUCGACAAUCCUACAAAUAAUAGGGUGAUGAAAUUGGGUUUCUACCACUCUAAUGUCCCAUGACUAAAAAUUUGGUGUUUCGCUUAUUUCAACAAGUCGUGGAUCAAUCUAAUUAAUAACUCAAACAAAUAGAACUCAGCUUGCAAGCCUGUUUAUUUAGCUGAUAAACCAUGACUUAAAGUACUGUUCACUGAUUUAUUAUUAUUGUUCACUGAUUUAUUGUGAGAGAAAAAUACUGUUGAAUAAUUGAUAGAUUCGACGAACAAGAGAACAGGAGAUUGCUCGUACAAAAUCUAUCGAGCCACUGGCGGCAGGUGGUGGGGCUCCUCCUGCUGCCUGCUGCUGACACAUUAGAUGCUACCGCGCAGGAGCAUGAGCAUGCAAAAAAGCAUGAGCAUGAGCUAGCUGCUGGCUGCUGCUGACACAUUAACGAACGAGCAUGAGCAUGUGAAGCGAUCUAGCUAGGAUAAUAUGAUUUUAUUUUAGCACGAUCAAGUAGCCCAGACUCUAUAAAAUUACUUGCUCCGCCACUGUAUCGAGCCAUGCAUCAAACGGCUAAAACCUCCACAAGUUUCACCUGAUAAACAUUUUUUUCUAUAUAUUUUCGAUGGGGUGGGCUUUUGAAUGGCUGAGAUAACUAGAGGUAGUGUCUAGUUGGAUGAUGACAACGAAAAAGCAACCCUGUAGCACACAGACAGAAACCUCAUAUAUUAUGGUACGUACGGCUAAUAUGCGGCAACGGAGUAGGUUGGGAUGUGGUCGAGAGAUCAAACACAACACCGGAGUAAUUAAGCAAAAUGGUUGGAGGUGGCAAUGAAAGCGGUACACAUCCAGUACUGAUCCAACUGCCAAGAAAGAAAGAACAAUAUAUAUACGUACGUGUCGACUGAGGUUUAAGGAAACCAUAAUCGACUCGCAUCUAGUCCUCAAGUACUUCUAUAUGCUACGUAUACUGAAUCAGGUCAAGUCCGUUUACUUGUCUGAAAAGUCAUAUCUAAAAGUAUUAUUCACUAAUUUAUUGAGAAAUUAUAAAACAAGUGAACGGACUCGGCCCAUGGAGUUGCUAUGCUAGUCAGCUAAUGAGGUUGUCGACCUCGCGCUGCUGGUACUACGGACGAAGCGCGCAGCACGCACAAGUGGGUCUCUCGAGGAUGAGCCGCGCGCGCUAAUUUCAAUCGUUCACACGAUCGAUCUGAUCCAUCGUACGUUGUCGUCUAUACGUAGGGGUACACACGUGUAAUUGAACACGGUAACCUUGACGGCGAUCGAUCGAUGCCCACGGGGCCGCGCGCCGCCGCCGGGGACGCCGGCCGGGUGGACGACGGAGAAGCAGCGGUGCAUGUGAACCACGUAAAAACGAGAGCUCAGCUCUCGGCGGGUGACCCGACGACGUACGACGUGGUGAGGCCGGCAGCCCCGUGGUUUCGUGUGGCUGGCAGCCUCCCAUAUAUCGUCUUCCCCGGCCCCAUCGGUGGUUUUGGGCCGCACAGGCAUGGUGCACUGCCACGGGACCACGUUGCCGCCUUUCUUGCACCGCGCAAAGGCUAGCUUUCAGCACCUUGCUGCUGCUGCCGUCGACGUCGCCACGUACUGAUAGAUAGCUAGUGCUAGUACGACUGGUACGUACUUGGCUGCUUGCCGGUAAUUAAGAAAUUUGUUGCUUCUCUUUGUCUUUCAUAUGUACUGAUACUACUCUAUUAUCUAGUGCCACGCUGGCACUAAAAAAGCCGAAACGCAUGCAUAUGUAUACGUGCAUGAGCUGAGGCCGUACAUAUCAACAAAAAUAUAUAUGGACGAUGAGAUAUAUACGCGUCUCCACGGAUCACGGAUCACUGAUUGGCUGCGAUGGAUUAAUGCUUCGUUCCACUAGGGCCUUGUUUAGUUCACUCCGAAAUCCAAAAAGUUUCAAGAUUCCCUGUCACAUCGAAUCUUGCGGCACAUGCAUGAAGCAUUAAAUAUAGACAAAAACAAAAACUAAUCACACAGUUUGACUGUAAAUCACGAGACGAAUCUUCUCAUUCUCACUGUUAGGAAGAGCGAAGCAGUGGUUCUACGCUACAAAGGAGAAGAAUACUACGUGGGCACUCUGCUCUAUGAACUUUCUGGCUAAGUUCUUUCCCAUGGGCAAGACCAAUGCUCUCCGUGGGAAGAUUACAAGUUUUCAGCAACAACAUGAUGAAUCCGUUCCAGAAGCUUGGGAGCGCUUCCAAGACUACAUCCUAGAAUGUCCCCAUCAUGGAAUGGAGAAUUGGCUAUUAAUGCAGACGUUUUAUCAUGGGCUCGGCAAUAGUGCCCGAGAAACCAUGGAUGCUGCAGCUGGAGGAGCAUUUCUAUCACUUACCAUAUCACAAGCCACAACUCUUGUGGAGAAGAUGGUGUCCAACCAAGGCUGGAAUGAAGAGAGGACCCAGACACGCAAGAGAGGUGGAGGUAUGCAUCAGCUCAAGGAGGUAGACAUGCUGUCUGCAAAGCUAGACCUGCUCAUGAAGAAGCUCGACGAUAGAGCUAGAGAUAAGAAGGAAGUUAUGCACAUCUACGACUCUCACAUGACUUGUGAGGAGUGUGGAGAUACGGAACACUCAGGCAAUCACUGCCUUGAGAUGCUUGAGGAUGUGAACUACAUCAUCAACAACAACAACAACUACUACUACAACCGUCCUCAACAAAAUCAAGGUUGGAAUCAACAGAGGCCUAACUACUCAGGUAAUUAUCAAGGUAACAAUUCUUACAACAAUAAUAAUAAUUUUUCACCUCUGAGAGAGUUAAUGUCUAAUCAAGGAAAGCUAAUGGAUAACCUAUCUAAGAAAUUGGCAUUAAAUGAUAAAAUGCUAGAAAAUAUAAAUAAUAGAAUGGAUAAUUUCUCUACUGCCAUCAAGAAUCAAAUUAGCUUUAAUAAAACGAUUGAAUCCCAGUUAAAUUAAAUAGCUGCUGCUGUUCCUACUACUAACCCCGAUAUACCAUCACAACCGGAAGGAUUAGAAUCUGCAAAUCUUGUAGACAUGUUUGAUGCAGGGAAUUGGAGUAACCCCGUCACUGAAGUUACUACUGAUCUUCUGCCGGUCAAGAGAGGUGAUCCAGGACGCCCCGUCAUCCCGAUCGCCAUCGGCAUGGUGGACAUCCCAGAAGCACUCUGCGACUUUGGCUCUAGUGUCAACAUUAUGCCCAGGGUACUCUAUGAAAAUUUUUUUACAUAUCCUUUAUUAGAAACAACCAUGUGUUUGCAGUUUGCAGAUUAGGCAUUAAGUUUCGCUAAGGGAAUAUUGAAGAACCUCUGUGUCCGAGUUGGUACCUUGUAUGCCCUAGCAGACUUCGUGGUGAUAGAGACCGGUAAUGAUGAGAGGGCACCCAUUAUCUUAGGGAGGCUAUUCUUAAACACCUCGGGAGCUGUCAUCUACGUUAGUGCUGCCAAGAUCAGUUUGUACAUCAAAGGGAGAAAGGAGACAUUUUUCUUCAAGAACAAGACUACACAAAUCCCAGAUCAAUCCAGACAUGAACCAAGGAAGAGGACCAACAGGAGGAACAGGAACAAGCAAGUGUGGACCGAGUCAGCUAAGAUGGUCACUGCAGUGCAUGGAGGCCAAGAUCAUCAACUUAAGUCACCGUGUCUGACCAAGAAGGAUGACCCAGGAAUGUCAAGCAUCUAUUGCUCCAUAAAUGGAUAUAACUUCUACAAGACGACUUGCGACACCGGAUGAGGCAUCAACAUAAUGGCCGCAGUCACCUAUCGACUCUUGUUCGGAGCCAUGCCCCUAAAACCAACAUACAUUCAGCUCCAGAUGGCAGAUCAGACAUUUCGAGAAGUUAAAGGAAUAGUAAUUGAUGUCCCUAUCAAAAUAGACGAUCAUUUCGUCUACACAGACUUUCAGGUUAUUGACAUGGGAGAAGACGAAUACAAUCCACCCAUUAUCCUUGGUAGACCGUUCCUCAGCACCGUUAAAGCAAUCAUCUACAUUGGAACUGGAGAAGUCCAUAUGCACUUCCUCUCAGAGAAGGUACGCCGCUAUUUUACUGACCCUAACUAUAUCGUUGAAGACUCUAAGCAGGUCACGAAACGACGCAACCGCAACCAGAGGAGGGAGAUCAUCAAGGAUGGAUGGGCAGACUAUGAAGGAGAAGUAGUAAGGUCAGAAGACGUACAGUUUAAACACAAUUAUCCAGAGGAGACUGUAGCACCGAGUCAUGUGUGGAAAGAGAAAAUAACUAUACAUGAAGAAGAGGCGCCGCCAGAAGUACCGACUCCGCCAUCCAAUGAAUCCCAGGACAACUGAAGAAAACGGAGAGUCCCGUUCGGAGGACUUAAAAAACACCGAACGCCUUGCCAAGAGGUAAACUUGGUAGUUAUCCUUUCUCUUUCUAUUAUCUAAAAUAGUUCACUUAGUUAAUUAUGUUCAUACUAUCCUAAAAAGAAAAUAAAAAUGUUAAAAAACAGUAAGCCCCAUGUGAGUAUACGAGUGGCAUAAAACCCAUAAGUACAUUCACUGUGGUGGCAUAAAAAUAAAAUAAAUAUUUUUUAUGCUUUAUAAAAUGAAAAUAUAAAAAUAGAGAGUAACAUUUAUUGAGGAGUCUCAACAUGAUGAAGGCUAGAUAUUUAUGCUAACACUUAAUCAGUUCCACAAAGCUUUGUUGUCUAUUUGAGCUCCACAGAAUUCAAGAAUCAAGAAGACUAGCAGACGGAGGACAUUUUAAUCGCUGUCAGAAUGCUGCUGACUUUCAAAUACACCUCUGCCACCUGCUAGCUACAUCAAGAUAAAUCACGUCAAAAUUCAGCUUGGGGGAGAGCAACCCCAUUUAUCCCGAUAAGUAUUUCUAUCUAUCUUUAUAUUUAUACUAUAUUAAAAUAUAAAUAUACAUAACUAUGAAAAAAACCAAAUAAAGAGUUUUUGCCUAUAUAUAUAUAUAUAUAUCUUUUGCUUAGUGUGUUUAAUAAAUAAAUAAAGUGGCUAUGCUAAACUGUAUCUAAAUAAAACUCUAGCAUGGAUAUGAUGAAUAGUUGCUCUGCCUAAUUUUUAAAAUUUGAGUUCUCUCUCAAGUUUAGACAUAACUGUUAUAAUUUAAAGCUUGCUCUAAACCUAAACUUGUGGGAAGAAAACUUGAUCUGAAGUCUAAGUUGUUAACGGAUAUGAUAUGGGAAGGUUGAGCUCUUGUUUAUCUGUUCCUAGAGAUGCUAGAAUUCUGGAGAAUUUUAUCUUUGAAAAUCUUUAAAAUAGCACAUGAUGAGUUCCUGUAUGAUGAGAGUUUAAAUUCCUACCACAAUCAUAUAUACAUGCUUGCUAGAUUUUGAGCCACACAUUUACUUUUUAUGAGCAUUGAGUGUGGUCAAGCUGUGUAGACCCUUAGGAGCUUGUCAUGUGGUUAAAUCAAGAUUCACUUGCACGUUCAUUCACACAUGCUGCUUCUACUCCGGAAGUACCAUCCACAUAUAUCCACCCAUUUCCAUCUCCAGAACCACCCAAAAAUAUUCUACUCCUAAUCCGGGAGAGAAUGGCCAAAAAUAUUUAUGUUUCCCCUGUGAAAUAAAUGCUCAAGUUAUCUUGUUACUACCACUUGCUACAUUAUCUCAAGAGAUGAGUGCUCUAAAAAAAGAAUACGAGAAAAUAAAAAGGGGCAAGUGCCCGGAACCUCGAAAGAAAAGAAAAAGUGAGACGAGAGGUAAAAAUAGACAAGUGUCCGACAGCAGAAUUAGGGGUACAAAAUACCCACCUGAGAGAAAAGAAAAAGAAGAGCAUCUCAUUCUCCUCAAAAAGUUUCAAAAGAGCAAGAAAGGUAUGUAUCCCCUCAAAGAGCAAAAGUAGAAUUAGACUUCCACCAUUGUUAUCACCAUACACCAUUCAUUCGCCACACAUGCACAUCUUGAUUUGACUUAUUGGCUUGUUUCUUUAGAUCCAUGGUUUGACUAUACAAUAAAUGUCUUGUGAGUAUGUAUAUUUUAUCUCCCACCUAUGAGCUCCAGAUAUCAAAGCCUUAUUAGAGUAGGGUGAGAGAGAAGGUAAUGUCACUAUGCCUUAUACCAUAAAUACCACAUAUCUUGAGAGAAGGCAUAUACCAUCACUGCCUUGGUAAGGAUCCAGAAAUACCACAAAAGAGAGAUAUGAGAGAGUCAUACAAGGAAUCUCUGAGUUUUAUUUGAAAAUCUGCAAAAACUCCAGAGCUAUAGCUGAUCAAGAAUAAGAGACAUGGCACUUGACUAGACUGUUCUAUCUUUUAACUACUCA